RNAcentral lists this long non-coding RNA (66895 nucleotides) under Eucalyptus grandis. Its description in RNAcentral is "long non-coding RNA (EGRA_LNC002638)". Lineage: Eukaryota; Viridiplantae; Streptophyta; Magnoliopsida; Myrtales; Myrtaceae. The record is from RNAcentral.
UUUUCUGUUUACAGGUAUCCAAUCACAGAGCCAGAAAUCCUUUCUUCUGUGUGCUUGGGAAUUUUACUUGCUUAGACCACAAUUCAGCAUCAUGUUGUUUCUGUGAUCCUUGUUCUGACCACAAAUUGCUCAAGACAAACAUUUCUUGCUGUAGCAACGAAAAUAAAGCAAUUGCAGCAUACCGGAGGCCACACUCGAUUAAAAUUAAGAAAAGUCACUUGCUCUAAGAAAGGAAACUGGUGGCAUAUCACAUAUGCUUGACUGAACACGUAAUUUCUCUAUUUCCUUCAAUCAAUUUCUCCAAGGGACACAAGAUUCCUGUGGCUCUAUCAGAUACAAGAAUUAGUGAAAGCACAUACAUUUAGCUAUCCAUUUGAUCUGAUACGUAUGAUCUACCUCUAACAAUCUAAGGACAGCUUAUUCCAUUCUUGACAAUGGUUAUUGAAAAGAAAGAAUUUCUUUUUGCAUUUAAUAAAGCCAAUUCUCCAUUGAAUGGUUUGGAUGGUAAUUGGAUACAGAGAACUUAAAGACUAUCCAGGGCCGUUAUAGAAAGUAUUUUUAUCCCUUUCCACAAGAUGCAAUUAAUGCCUAAAAGCCAUUCGUCCUAUGCAUUAUGCUACUUCUGGUCACAAUCAGAAUAUGAAGAAAAUUAGCAGAGAAGAAGACAUGAUACGAAAUCUUUUUUUGGCAACCAUGAUUUGAAAUUCUUUCACAGUCCAAAAUGCUGCCUAAUAACAUUGUGUCAAUAAGCAAUUACCUUUCAUGGACGACAAUGUGACUAGAAUAUCCUCCCUUUGUGACUGUACCGUCCAUAUCGAUUCGGUCAAAAGUCAAAACCAUCUUUUCACAAUGGACUUCUAGCCCGUCAUUGCAAUACUCACACUCUCUGCAUGAAUUGACAUAAGUUCCCACACCCACAUGAUCGCCAACUUUGAAGCGUUGGACAUUGGAGCCAACCUGUUUCACAAUUCCAACUAUCUCGUGCCUGAAUGAAUCAAAAAAAUCAUUCGCAAAGUUUGUUCAGAGAAUUAUUAGGAUGGUGCUAAGAAAAAAGAUUAACAUUCGAAUCACGCUGCAUCCUACCCUGGCACCAGAGGAUACUUGGAGUCUCCCGCCAUAUUCCUAGUCCUACCCACAUCUGCAUGGCACACUCCACAGUGCGUGAUCCUAAUCGAGACGUCAUCGCUUCCCACGGUCCUAAAGAGAGAAUUCCCAAACAGUUGAGCAUCUAAUCAAGCAACUAAUCAGACUCAGUUUCCUUUUAUUCUCAUUUUUCAGAUCAAUAAACUAAGCGUGACUUACGAUAAUCAUACAUUCAACCCAAAACUAAAUUUAAGAAAAGAGAAAUGAAAAGGAACCAAAUCCAUGAUAUAGGCAUUUGUCUGAAUAGUACAUACGACCUCAAAUGCUCACAAAGGGCAGCACCUGAAUCCUAAUGUCUGCCAUGAAAUUCUAAGCGACUCAUUCUGGGAAAUGCCAUAUCAUGCGUACGAACAAUUCUCUACCCAGAAAUUAGUGCAUACACAACAAAAUUUUAAAAAGAAAAACGAAAUGGUUUGGUCAAUGUGGAAAUUUAAAUAUAUGACAAGCAUCAAAAACUGUUUUGCAUUACAGGUGAGAGGAUAAGACCUGAGAACACUUUAUUGAGACUUAUUCAGACAAAUACUUCAAUAGAAAUUGAAAGUAUAAGGAGCAGAUGAAUUAAAUAAAGAACAGUGGUAACAGUAAUACCUGCGGCUGAAUUUGUAGGGGGAGAGAAGUCCAGAAGGAUCUCUGGCAGCCCAACCAAGACAAUCUUCCUUCGCACCAUCUGAACUCAUCGUUCCUCAACGACCUCAACUGAAAUCGACCCACAAAAAAAUUGCUGUGUUAAUCUCUCAAUAAGCUGAAUUAUGGAAGAAGUAGAAGAAGAAUUUUCGUGAAAGAGAAAUGAAGAAGAGAAUUUCAAACCGAAAAACAGAAGUUCAAAUGGUCAAAAGGCCAGAUGUCACGAAGCCUUGGCAAUUCCGUUUCCGUGCAGACAAGAUUUUGGGGUCUGACUUUUGAGCAAAGAGCGAGAUUAGCAGAGUACGAGGUUGAGCGCUCAAAAACCGUCACCUCUUUAUAGAUGCCAUAGCGUCGCCUGUUCUUGGUCAAUCUUCGAGCUGUCUAUUGUGGAAAAGAAUUAGUGCCAAACGUAAGCCAUUUUCCUUCCCUAACCAAUGAAGUAUGCAGUGACAUCUUCUGGAGUGCGGUUCUUGAUACUUUUUAGCCAUCCUCCCAAUAACAAUUGCAUCAUCAAGUUAUUCACACAUUAAAUAUGUCAAUAGGCAACGUGCCUAUUGCACUACAGGACCUGCGGAUGGUCAACUAUGCCGGUUACACCACCAAUAACUAACACAUAAAAUAUGUCAUGAGCCGCUAGUGGUAUGUAUUUGAUUAAUCUGUUUUAAGAAUAUUCAUCUUCUACAAAGAUAGUAUUUUGGAGAGAAAAGUGUUUCAGCAGAACUGUGCAAUGAUUUGCAGAUCAUUACAAUAUCACCGGAAGCAAAAAAUUAUCCAUCAUUGACAUGAACGAUAUAGCAAAAAUUCUUUUAAUUGUUUACCUUAAGUUUAGCAAGAUCUGCUUAAACGACAGCCUUGAGUAUCUUCAAUUCCUUUUCUCUUGUAAUUGAGUCAUAAAAUUUUCAAAAAUUACAAUUAAUUCUAAAGAUUUAUCAAAAUUGGUCCAAUUUAAGUCAUUCCAUUGAUUGCAAUUUUUGAAAGUUUUAGAGUUCAAUUACGCUCUCCUAACAAGUUUUAGGACUUGAUUACAUUUUUUAAAAAUUUUAUGACUUAACUUUAUGACAAGUUUUACAAUUUCCAGUACACUUAUCUUUUUCUUUCUUUUCACCUCAUUAAUCUUUUUAGCGACAAUGAGCUUGACAUAUCUUUGUUUUUGGGAUUUCAGUGGCUAGGGGAAACAAAGAGAUGUCCUCUAAUGAAUCAACAAUCUUCCUGCCAUGACAAUGCCGGAAGAGAGAUGAGUGUCUUACAUAGUUAUCAAAAAUGUUCAUGUUAUAAUCGGUAGGCAUUCGCUCUGCCAACGUGCAUGAACAUUUCCGGCGAUGAAACAUUUGUGAGGAGCCAGUAAAGACAUCCUGUUAUUUAAACCGACAAAAGGAUAUCAAGCUUGCUCUUUUGGCAAGUAUAUUGUCGUCAAAUAAGCCUGAUUAAUCCGAUAUUUUCAUACAAAAAAUCGUCAUCGAGGUUGAGGCCAACUUAAUCCAAAAUGCCAAUGGACAGGCUUGGGUAAAGCUAGUGGAUAGGUAUGCCGCUUUAUCUUAUGUCGUGUUAUCUCACGAGAGAUGGUGCUGCGUUCUCCUUAGAAUGCACAUGACUUGGGAUAGGAAAACCUUAGGAUCCGACGAGGAGGAAGGAAAAAAGCAAUCUAUUGUCAGGCCAAUACAAGAUCAUUUCAUCUCAAACCCCGCAGUCUUGAGGCCAUGGAAUCUACGACAUACUUGCUCAUUCACAAGAGUCGAUAGUAGUUGCAUUUCUUUACUUAGCCGAUGAAGCCGAUGACAAGCUCCAUGGUUGUGUUCGCAGGCUAGGCCAUUAAUUUGAAAUUUGACAUAUAGCAUAUUCAUGAUUCAUUCUAUCUGACAGGGAAUUCUUCCAUUUCUACUUCAGAUUUCUUUCUCAGUAUGGAGUGAAAGAGAAAGAGCCUAUCUCCCAUUGCAUGGACUCUAUUUUAAAAACGCCAUGGAAUAUCCUAUCUUUGCACACAGUCUCAAUAACUAGGAUUUAGUUCAAAGAUAGGAUUAUUUAUAGGGAUGAGCGAAAUAUUUCAGGCCUACUCAGUUGGCCCCUUCCAGGACGUGAUUAUGGUAGGAGAAUUUGAUAUUCUUCUAGCCAUUAAUGGGUCUGUGCAAGGGGUUUUAUACUCUACUCAACACCCAAGCGAGUCAACUGAUGAAGUAUAGAACUAUCGGCAUUUACAUGAUAUCACUGACACCGCCGUGUCGAUCAAGAAAGGAAGGAGUUCCCAAAUAUAUUUAUUUUGGAGAGAGACAAAUUUCAGUAAAACUAUGCAAGGAUUUGCAGAUCACUACUAUAUUAAGUAAAGCAAAUGAACAUCCAUCAAAGGAGUAAUGUAGUGCAAUACUCGAUUGAUCAGGGUGAGAACUAAGCUCAGAAGAUCAUUCUAAGUAACAAUGCCAGAGCUCGUGUUGAGCUCAAUCUUGUGAUAUGACUGAGAAAGAUUGCAGUAUUGUGCACACUUUGCAUUUAUAGCAAAUAAUUGUUUCCAAUUUGAUAAUAUUAUCUAUUCUUGACUGCGUUCUUUCUCCUGAAAUUAGGGCGUAUACCUGUUCAGAGUAGACCUCCAAAUGCACUUCCCCCACUUGAGGAACACCCCCUCAAGGAACAAAUACCCGACAUGGAUUUGUGUGAAAGCAAUUUGUUGUGUGCAAGCCACCUAAGACUGUGUAUUGUACCUCAGGAUACAUAAGAUAAUAACCCUGCAAGAAAUCUCCUGGUCCUAGCCAGGGUUUCAAUAUAGAAUCAGCCUCACAAAAUCCUUUACCACUUUUUCAUUGCAUUGGGCUUCUUGUCGCAGUCACUCAGCUUUGUGGGGCCAGUAAAGUAUGAGAAAACCUGUCAAAAUGGUUUAAUUGCAUUCAUCGAUAGCUUCCAAUCUUGAGCUCUCCUUCUGCAAAAAUUCAAAUUCCUGGAUGAGUUUGGCCAGCUUUGCAGCAUUCUCUUCCUGGAUGUGAACUGGGACCUUCUGUUCAUAGACAGAUGAAUUGAUGAUCUUCUUGAGUUUCUCUUGUUGCCUGCAUAAGUAGACAGGUCACACCAAAAUUACGAGACCCACAGCCCACAAGCUCAGUGAUCCAAGCCUUGUCUUCAAGGUUUUCUUUAUAUGAUUAUGGAAAAAUCAAGGAAAUUAAAUAUCCUACAAAAUGGGGAGUAAUCUGCAAAAUAUUGCUUUAAUUCACAAGAAAAAUUAAUAUAACACAGAUCACCUUAACAAUGAGGACAUCAAGUGGAUAGACAAGAUCAGGGACAACGAAAACAUCAUGGGACUUAUCUGAGAAAAUGAUACUUACAGAAACAGAAGGGGAAAAGAAUUUAACAGCUUUUAGUAAAGUUAACAAGAUAAAAGGUCGAGAAAUUAAUUUUUACCAAAAAAAAAAAAGGUCGAGAAAUUAAUUUUUACCAAAAAAAAAAAAGGUCGAGAAAUUAACAUGGACUGUCUUGAUGACACCAGGUGGAUUAAUGAGGUCCACAACAAGGAAAAAUGCCAUACUUCUCCAGCACAAUGUACUAACAACAACAUAGAAAGAAUUGGGAAAGUUAUCAUGGGACAAAAACAGGUUUACUCAUGAACGUUUUUGUCAGAAUGUGCAACAAAGACAGAAAGAAACUUGCACAUUAUUUCUAAAUAAGCAAUCUGUUGACAUAAUGAUGUACAGUGCUAAGCUGCUAGCAAAGGCUUUUACCUGUGCCACACAUGAAUGACAUAAGUGAUAUCCACAUGAUAACACCAGGGAGGGAGGGAGGGAGAGUACUUUCACUGGACUUACUUUUGAAUCUCUUCCAUCUUAUUCUUGAUCUUCUCACGUUCUGCUUCCGCAUUAAGUUCUCCUUGAACCUUAAGAUACACUUUGAGAUUUUCAUUCACAUUCUCAAAAGCACAACUUGCGGGAACAUCUUUUUCACUCAACAAAACCUGUGAAUCCGUCAAAUAAAAUAAGGAGCAACAAUUAAAGAAAAUGAGAUACAUAACAAAAUUAACAAAGAAAAAUGGAACCCAUGUCCAGCCUAUCAUGUUAGCACUAUAAGCAGUGUCGAAGUGUAUAUACUUCAUCCUACUGAUGAGUGAGAUUUACCCUACAUGUGCACUAAUCAUUUAUGAACCUUGAAGAUAAUCAGCAAGUCAUCACUUAAUUAUCAUUUGAAGACUCUCUCUUUUCACAAUAGACUGACUUAAGGAGAGGAGCUUGGUGGGAGUUAAAAAUCAGCUUCUGGAACGAGAUUCAAAGGAGAAGAAUUGGCUUCCAUGACCAUUUGUGAAACUUACAUCACAUUAUACACUAAGCUUAUCGAUGAAAUGCUGAAUCGCAUUCAAAAGGCAAUAAGAACACACAAGUUGCAAAAGCAAACACAACUAUUUAAGAAACUAAUGCACUGUACCUCUAAUGAAGAUAAAGCGGCAAGAGUUACAAUCUCCAAUUCAUGGCUUUUAAUGGUGUCUGCUACUUUCUCACUUUGGCAAUAUGCAUAAGCAGGUAGCCUGAGAAAAAAUUAACUAAUAGGAAUAAAUAAAAGAAUAUAUGAUCACAGAUACAACUACAACCUCAUGUAUACUCAAUUGGCAGAUUUUGAGAACUUUUUCCCCACCGGGCCUGGCCUAUUACAAAUUUACAGCAUAAAAGUCUAAAAAUAUCCACUAGAGAAAUAAGAUAGCUCAAAUGGUGUCAAUGGCAAGACUCAGUACCACCUAGCAGAAACUCUAUGAUGCAUAAUUGUUUCAUGCAAAUUAGAGUAGGUGCGCUCUUUUUCCAAUGAACACGACAGAAGGCUCUCUAUAACAAGUAAAGAGAAUCUCAUAUUGAGGUGGUCAUUCUUGAGGAUAUAUCUGAGGAGGAUGCAAUACUAGCAAGCAAAAUGCCCCAGGUAAAGGCCCUAUGUGUCUAUUUCACCUUGUAAAUCCUUGAAUUUUGUCUACAUUAAAAUACCCAUCAAGCCAACCACAUUAACCACACCUUUAUCAAAUAAAUACAGUUUGGUUAUGGGCUUUCCCUUAUGUCAUUAUGCAUGGUAUCAAGCAAUCAAGACUUCCAGCGGCACCCUUAACAGGUAAAAAUGCCGAGGUAGAUAUUAACGUGUUUGCUUUAACUGGUAUAGAUCUUUAGAUGAGAAGGAAGAUACAGGAACCAAAGGACAAAACAAGAAGCUGCAUGCAAUAAAUCAGAUAAACUUCAUUAACUUAUGACUAUCAAGCAAGCAUCAGACAUUAGCAAAUGAAUGUAUCUGCAAUCGAAAAUACGUUGAAAAAAAAAGGUUAAAAGCUCAUAUCUACCUUUCAUUCUUAUGCUUUCUAAGCCCCUCUGACCUUAGUGACCGCAGGGAUUUUACUGUGGACUCAAUUAGAUCCAUCUCAAGCUCCAACCUUUCGUUUGUCCAGCGCUGAAGCAAAAAGAAAAUCACAAUAAUGCGAUGAGGAUGAAACUAACCCAUUGAAUUUCUGAUUAAUCCAUCAACUACAAGUUACCCAUCACCAUUUUAAAUGUCUCAUAGACUACUUAUUAGAACUCCAAAUGUCAUAAAUUAUUUAAACUGCAGGACAAACUUUCAAUAUUUGAUUAGCCUAGAUUUACCUCUACAGGGGAUGGGUAAUCACACAUCAUAAUUGAUUCUUUUCUAUCACCGUCCUUUGCAGAGGGCAGCCGCUGCCACAAUUCUUCAGUAACAAAUGGCAUGAAAGGAUGAAGCAGCUGUAACCCAGUUUCCAAGCAUAACCACAAAACUUCUUUUGAAGACUUCCUUUCAGAGGAAAAUGUGGGGUCGUCAACGGCAAAGUAAGGCUUGAUUGCUUCAAUAAAAACAUCACAGAACUGAUAUUGCCACCAUGAAUAUACUGCGGUGGCUGCAUCUGAAAAUUCGUACGAUUCAAGAGAUAAAAUGGUUUUUGAUAUAGCCUUGUUCAGCACAGAUAUUAUCCAUUUGCAGCUAAAUGGCAUAGUUUCUGGAUGUACUUCCACUUGGGGCACAAAAUUGUCUCCAAGUUUGCUCAUAGCAAAUCGAACAGCAUUCCACAGUUUGUUGCACCAUUGACGAUAGCCAACAACUCUUUGGAUAUCCAGAUUUAUUUUGUCAGACUGCAUAAGGUAUAAGAAAAGUUACAGGUUAAUAUUUGUUCGGCAACAAAGGCAACAAUAUCAAGGCCUGUACAUGGUACAAAUUAUAUCGUGGUCAAUUCGGUGGGAAAAGAAUAAACCUGAGCUGUAUAAGAGACAAGUGCGAAUCGGAGAGCAUCUGCACCACAUUCAGCAAUACCAUUGGGGAAGUCCUUGACCUGUCCUGCUUUAGCUACAGUGAGUUCAUUAGGGUCCAAAUUGCCCUCCUCCAAUCUCUUAUGAAGAGCUUCUAGGCUUACGCCAUUAAUUACUUCAAGAGGAUCAAUGACAUUUCCUAAAGACUUUGACAUCUUUCGGCCAUGGGCAUCACGAAUCAUGGGAUGCAGAUAAACCUGCAAAGAUAUAACAUAAGCAGCAAAUACAGUAGAAAGGAAUUGUAUUAGCAAGCCAAUACAAGUACUGUUCAUUUUCCUAGAUGUAGAAGCUCCAUAAAUUUUGAAUCAUAUGGCAAUCAGACUAAGCGUUGACUUCCCAAAUAUAACUCUUAAGAAGCAGGUAGUCGAUAUACCAGAAGUGGCAAAAGGAGGGUUACUUUGACAUUUGACCGAGGAAAGAAUCCAUCUAUGCAAAUAUUAAAAACAUACAGUAUCUGAAAAUGACAUGUAACAAAAAACCAAGCUGAUUGGGAUAAAGUAUUCACACUACAUAUUGAUGUCACUUGCAAUCAUUAAGCAAUUUGGGUUGAUAUUCCUGGUCAUUAAGGGAAGUAGUACAAGAUAGAUAUUUUAUGAAAGUUUCAAGCAACUCGAACACAAAAGAAAAGGACCACUCCAGCCAAAAAUAAAAUAAAAUGAAAAGACAUUACACAUUUCUAGGGCUUUUACAGAGGACCACAUUCCAAUGAAACAUCAGGCAUUUUCCAGGAAACAGACGAUCUGCAGAUCCAUUGUAAAGCAAGCUGAGCUAUUUGGCCACUAAAAAUGCAAUUAUUAGACAUAUAGCAUCAUAUCCUCAUGAGAUCAUUGUUAAUGAUAUGUCCUGCAACUGUAGUUAACUCACCUUCCUGAAAGGGACAUCUCCUCCCAGUUUAAUUCCCAUCAUCACCAUCCGGGCAACCCAGAAAAAGAGAAUAUCAUGGCCAGUCUCAAGGAGAGAAGUAGGAUAAAAUGUCUUCAAAUCUUCUGUAUCGUCUGGCCAUCCGAGGACAGUUAAUGGGAAAAGUCCAGCUGAAAACCAAGUAUCAAGUACAUCAGGAUCUUGGCACAAAUCAAAUUUCCUCCCUGCAUACUUCUUGCCGGCCUCUUCUCGAGCUUCGCUCUCAUCUUUUGCAACUAUCCAGUUAUCAUUGUAUGCGCCAAGUUCCUUCAGUUCAUCGUCUUCCAGUGUGACGUACCACGCUGGGAUCCGAUGACCCCACCAUAGCUGCCUUGAGAUGCACCAAUCACGUAUAUUCUCAAGCCAUCUGUGGUGUUGAGACAUAUCUUCAGUUCUAAAUUAUUGCAAUAAUACUGCAUAAAUAAUGCUCAAAUGUCCAAAAUUAAAUUGCAUUAUACGCAAACAUCGGCAAAAUGCAUAAAACCAUAGUCAACCAAUUUUUCCCCAAUAACAUAUAGCAACUGUGCAUUGGCAUUCUCUGGGCCAAUUAAUGAGAUAAAAGAAAAAAUCCGGGAGGAACAUUUUCAUGCUUAGCCCUUGUAACAGCAAGCACUGGCAGCAAAAUUUUGGGGAGAAGUGAAGCUUGCACAUGCAAUAUUUUAUUACUAUCAUCCACAACGGUGGGUUAGAUGACAGCACCUUUUCCAAUCUGCAGUAUACUGUUUAGGAAUAAUUUCAAGUCUUCUAUUCUCAGCAUCCAUGGCCACAUCAAGAGCUUCCUUUGCCAUGCCACUGCAUUUCACAUACCACUGUGGCUUUAUUAACGGUUCCACAACAUCAUUGGUUCUUGAACAAAGGCCAAGCCUCAUCUCAUUGUUUUUAGAACCUCUGUAUAGUCCCUGAAAGCAAGAAAAUCAAAUACUUAAGUGAUUUAUGACAACAAACUACCUGAAACUGUGACAUGGAGCAUCAACUGGAAAUAAUGGAGAGAGUAAGAGGAGAAUAGUCUAGGAGGAUAUGGUAAGCAUCCAUGUACAAAAGUGGAGAAAAGAACAGAAUUUGCUAGCAAUGCCUUAUGACAAAAUGCAAUAACGUUCAACCAACAUCACAAAUAAUUGGCUCAUGCCUUAAGAUGUGUUAUAAUUAUGCCCAAAAAAAGCAUGCACAUUGAUAAGUAAAGACCUGAGAACAAAGCAAAUGGAGUAGCAGAUAAGUAUGACCAAUGAUUAUUUUUCAACAACUUAUGAACAUUUGCCUUCAUAUUCAUUCACUACAUAAUAUUUUGAAAGCUUCUAGUCAAAAUCACUUCAUCUCUAGUUAAGAUUUUCUUCUUUGAGUUCUUCAGAAGCAAGCCUAUCCUAUGGGGCACGUGCACUCAAUGAUGACAAAUGUGAGUUCAAUCUAAAUAGCCAGUGGUGUUCUCCAAGUAAAUUGAGAAGCUAUCUGUAGUCAACCAUAUAAUCCACCAAGGAAAGUCGAAGAUGUAGUUCACGUGUCAACAAACCAAGAGUUGAACAAUGUAUUAGUUAUAUAGGCUUCUCUCAAGUAGGAGGUUGCCAAUCUAUUUAAGAUUGAGAAUGCAACUGAGCUGAAUCCACUAGCCUUCCUUUUGCAAGAAACAAAUAUAUAAACUCAUCUAACUUCUGAGCCUCUGACCAAAAAAAAAGAAAGAAACAGAGAAAGAGAGAGAUUCAGCCAGCACUCAAAAGGUUUUAGCAGUCCACAGAACAAUUGGGGAAAAAUUUAUCAGGAUCAGAAAUAGAUCCGUUUUUUCUAGAUGGAAAGCCCGGUAGGCAACUCUGGCAUGACUCCCGUCUUGCUAACCCAUAGACUAAGCUGUGCAAGGUAUCUUUUGGUGGGGGCUGUUGGGGUGGAAAUGUUGGAAGGACACUGUUUGAUGAUGGAGCCAAGAAGAAAAUGAAGUGAUGCAAGAAAAAGAUUACUCUGAGCAUGACAUGGGUUUGAAGUUUACUGAAAGGUAGUAAACUGCUGUCAUGUCGUGGUAGUCAUGGAUGGGGCCAGAAUGGCCAUCCAAUAGUGGAUAGAAGUUGCAGCAAAUAGUGGCUAUAGUAGAUAUAAAUUUAAAACCUUCACACACUAUUUGAUUAAAUCAUAAAUUAACUAAUAGGGUUAAAUUGACACUAUUCAGGAAUGUCUCAAUGCUUUUCAAAUCAUCUAAUGGUAUCAAGAAAUUGAAAUUUGUCAGACAGGAUAUAGAUGGCUGAAAUAGAUCUUCUUGUUCUACUGCUUUUAUAAUGAACAAAAACAAAAUAGAAUUUGAUUUUGCAAUUUAUUAUUGCAUUAAGCAUUCAAGAUAUGUCUACCAAUCUUUCAUAUCGCAGUAAUACACUUACGGCUUCCAUGGAUAUUACUAUACCUUUUCCCGCAAUGCCACAGUGAUAGCUUGACGGGCCAUAAACCGUGGCAUCCCGACAAACUCUGAGCCACCAUUGCUAUUUAUUUUCCCAUCAUCAGUGAAAAUGUUGAUAAACUCAAGAUUAUGACGCCUUCCAACCUCAAAAUCAUUUGGAUCAUGUGCUGGAGUGAUCUGAAAAGGAACAGGAUAUUAAAGGUGGCGUAUGAUAAGCAAAAAAUAAGCCUUUGAAUUGCAAUUGAUUAAGAUAUAUACCUUGACAGCACCAGUACCAAAACUUGGAUCAACAAGAAUUGCAUCACAAAUGAUGGGAAGUCUUCUUCCGUUGAAGGGAUGAAUUGCAAAUUUGCCAUGCAGAUGACUAUACCUUUUAUCAUCAGGGUGAAUUGCAACGGCAGUGUCACCUAGCAUUGUCUCCACCCUUGUUGUGGCAACAAUAAUCUCUUCCAGGCCUUGCUCCAGUGGAUAGGCAAAUGAAGUUAAAACUCCAAAUUCUACUGGAUCUUCAUAGCCAGGAACUUUUAGAAGCUUCCUUUCCUUGAUGUCCACAUAAUCUACCUACAAACAGGUGGGUCCAGCUAACCAAGGAAGAGAAAGGGACAAAAUGACUGCACGGUCAUUAGGCAAUCACUCACCUCAAUAUCAGAUAUUGCAGUCCGUAAGAUACAAUCCCAAUUCACAAGGCGGAGAUCCCUGCGAGAAUUUGAUUUAAAACAUGCAUAUAAACAACUCAAAAAACUAAUAUGUAAAUGAAAAUGCACGACCUGUGAUUCCACCAUAUAGCAUUAACCUAUUAGACAUUGAUUAUCUCAGCAGUAAUUUAUCAAACUGAUUAUUAUUGGCCAUCGGUAUCAAGCAUCUUUGUUGGGAUGACUGCUUCCAAAGAAGAAACUCAUAAGCCUUUCCAACCAAAAAGUCCCAAAAAUACUAGCAACUUAUGAGUCAAUAAGUAGAAUACAACAGGGAUCACAAGGAGGAAGAGAGAUGCUGGCUAAUUGUCAAGUACCUAUAGAUAAGACCCUCUUUAAACAGCUGAACAAAUGCCUUAGUAACAGCUCUUGAUCUUCUCUCAUCCAUUGUGAAGCACUAGAAAAUAAAAGGAAAGAAAAAAAUUUCAGGGAAAAUAAACAUUUCCUAGCUAAUAAAUUGUGACAGAUAAAAUGCAGAUACCGAUAGCAAUGUCUAUUAACAAGUUUCAAACCCAAGUGUACAGUAUAUAGACUCCAAUCCAAAGCACUUUAUCAUGUCUGAAAAGUCAAAGAUCAAGAAUUUGGAAGAGUUACCUCACGGGACCAAUCGAGCGAUGCACCCAAACGUCUUUGUUGCCUUAAUAUAGUGCCACCAUACUCAUCCUUCCACUUCCAAACCUAGUGACAACAAGAGAAAAAGGAGAUACACUGAACAAAAUGACUUUUACACGGAUAGUGAAACAACCAUUGAAGGUGAAUUAGCUAGGAUAAUAGUUUCACCUCAGACACAAAUUUCUCACGACCAAUAUCAUGCCUAGUCAAACGACGUUCGCGCAUCAGCUUCUUCUCCACGACAACCUGCAAUGUAGCAUCCAAAAUCUUCCACCUUAAUAGUGAAUGAAUAUAUUCAGGCUUAACCAACCACAAACUAGACCAAAGACCAUGUGGUUUCUUAUUUAGCUGAGGGAUUUAGCAUGGGCAGGUUAAGGAAAGAACCUAAUUCAAAGGUUCACCAGUGUCAUUGCCGCAGGCGAUACAUGUUAGGAUGCAGCAUGAUCAUCAAUAACAUCACUUCAACGUAAUGCAGUUAACUGCUACCAUAUCAUCAUAUUUACUUGACAAAUGGAAAGGAUUUCAACUAUCAUAUCUCGGACAUAUCAAAUCUAUGGAACUACAUUUACUGUUUCAUGAGGGGCAAUGUAACCUUCAUCUGAACCCCAUACUCAGUUACUAGCCAAAUUAGCCACAGAUCCCAGUAAAACCUGGAUCUGACUCUGACUCCACAAAAUCUUCUUAUAUUCACCAGAACACUGCAGGUGGCAAGAAUAAUUUUUUUAAUGGAGCACUAACCCUAGCUUUCCUCCAACAUACAUUCCCCCAAGUUGACUAGAUAUCACUCACAUGAAGUGUGAAAAUGACUUGUAGCAUGGCAGGUAAAUGAUAAGACUCGAUUAGAACUGGUUGGAACUGUAGACCAAUAGAAAGCCAAUUGAAACUUAAACAAUUCAAAACAAUUAUGGACAUUCUAAUUGAAGCCAUCGUGACACCUUUAGUCACCAAUACUCACGUAGUGGCAACCUCUGCACAGCAUCUCAACUACCAAAAUGCCACUUUGGAUCAAUUAUUGCUACUGCAGUGCAACCGUCAAACUACCACACAUGAUUAGACUAAGGCCGUGAUGGUAUUCUCUUCAUUCAACUAUUAAAUGAAAGAUUUCAAAUUAAAUGCUUUUAAAUAUACAAUAGAAAUUUCUAUGCAACCAAAUGACAAUCAGGCCUGAUGCUAAUCGUGGCAAAGGACAGAGUGAAGGUCCUGCAUGCUUUGGCAAAGGGAGAACAAGUUAUAAAGGUUAUGGACCAUGGCAGGGAAAAAUUGCAAUAAAAAGGUCUUGAUGACAGUUUUUGGCUUUUUUUUUUCUUGACAUUGAGCUAUUUGUCUGCCAAGUAUCUUUAAUUAGGUAAAAAAAAUUGAACAAGCGACUUUCCAUGACAAUCCCCAGGAUCCCAUUUGCUCAUUUAGGGCAAAAGCAUAGGAGAUUAAAGGAUCUCACCUGCGUUGCAAUCCCAGCAUGAUCCAUCCCAGGCACCCACAAGGCAUUAUAUCCAGACAUUCUCUUCCAGCGAAUAAUUGUGUCCUGCACAUGAUGAAAAUUCUGACAUGAAGGAUGUAUUUAGUCUUUAUUAGUAAGCAAGAAGACAAUGCGGAAACAGUCCUGCAACCUGAAUAGCAGAUGUAAGGGCAUGGCCAAUGUGUAGGGCCCCAGUCACAUUUGGAGGGGGAAGAACCUGCAUAAUACGAGACAUUAAGAAAUAAAAAAUAAAAAAUAGCAGCCCAAAAAGUUAGUGAAGAGCAGUAAAAUCUAAAGUCUAGAACUGAUAAAUUCUACUGAGAUUGUUUGCAGAUACUCUUCCAAUCAAACAACAAAUUUUCUCUGUUGAAAAAUAUUUGAAGGCAGCAUGACCUCCUGGUUAAGGCCAUUGAUAGUGAUAAGAUGACUGUUUUAAGCAUGAAUUAUUCCAUAUACACACUUUAAUAGCCAACCGAAAUACGAGCAACCAAUUCUUAACUCAUUUCAAGAUCCAUGUAUCAUAUUUUAGCAAUAAGAACAAUAAAUAGUUAUACUUAAGAGGGAAAAAAAACCAAGAGAUUAGCACAUUAAUAGCGAUCGAAAUACGAGCAAACUACAUGGAGUCUUUCUAAAUUUGACUGCUUUUUCCUAAAAGUACACUUCCUACCAUCACUUAUGUUCAGUAGCACAUGGUGGUGAAUUAAUCCAUGCUAAAGUUAAUCCUCUGACAAUUAUGCUUGCAAAUAGUUUUAUAAAUUGGUGCUGUCAAAAUAGGAAAAAAUGAAAAAGGAAAGAAAGGAAGAAAGAAAGAAAAGCAUGGAACCAUCAAAAAGCAUGCCUCCUUGAAAGGGAAAUAACAGAAUACAUAGUAAACAAGUGAAGUCUAUGUAUUUGCAAUUACACUAUAAAUUUUCCAGGAGAACCCAAACCGGUGAACAGAACUUACUGAAUUGAAUCUUAAGAUCCCCAGUAAGAUCCUCACUCAAUCACUGAUACCAAGUUGCAAACAAUAACUCUAAGAAAAGUGUCCAGAAGUAGAAAGUACUCACAAUUACAAAUGGCGGUUUUGGGCUGCUGGCAUCUGCCACAAAGAAGCCUGACUUCUCCCACCAUGCAUACCAUCUAAAUCAACAGGAAGUGGGUCCAAAAAAUUCUGAGAGACAAUAAUAAUGUGAAUACAGCGUAAACAGAAGAGGAGUUCAUUCUUACGAUUUCUCAACAGCGCUUGGAUUAUACUGCUUUGCCAUGUGGCGGGAUAGCCUUUUCUUCUCGCCAAAUGGAGUCUCUGGGUCGACAUAAUCACCUGGAUUAUCUUCACCUAUAUCUCGCUUUAUAUUCUUUUUUGCACUCUUUUUGGGGGCAUCAGCACCUUGCUGAGCCUUGAAAAGAUAAAAAAAUGAAAAAGACAUCGAUGUUAGUAUGCAUACAGACAUUGGCAUUUUCGGGACCCCACAUAAAGUGAAUCAUCAACCGCCAAUAUUGAAAGCUAUGAGAUUCAAAGCAAGUACACAUCGGAGCAAAUACAAAUCAUUUACAAAAAUUAUAUAGCAAAAAAUUCUCUUAAACAGGUAUAUAAUGGUUUACCUUAAGUUUAGCCAGCUCUGCUUUUUCGGCAGCCUUGAGUUUCUUCAAUUCCUUCUCCCUUGCCUUAAAAAAAACAUGAAAACGCAACGUGGAAUAUUAAGACAGAUUGCCAUCGACAAAGCUACUAAAAAGCCUACUCAAUUUGGCAAAAUUGGGACAAGUUUGUCCAAUGAUCUUGACCACCUCCGCAGCAUGCUAUGCGAAUGGAUAGGAAUGCAUGCGGAGGGACAAGCUGAUUGCCACUUGAUGUUAGUCAUUCAUGCAAAACUGUAAGAUUCAUACGCUAUAACAUAGCCAGACAAGCAACAAAAAAAAAAAAAAAAUGAUCUGCGUUGCACCUGAGGUGACAAAGGUAAUUAGAUUGUAUUCAAACCAAAUGAAGUCCGUUGCAUUAAAAAGACAAUCAAAUGAUGCAUUGAUCAAACCUUCUCUUCCUUCUUCAUUUUCCUCUCCAGGUCUUCCACGCCUUCCGGCUUGUUAUCCGGUUGAGACUGCACGACCCACAUCAACUCAUCAAUCUGAUCAUUACAAUCAUAGACUUGCCAUUUCCACAGCUAACCCAAUAACUCAUAAGCUACAAUCAGACGAGCUUCCACCCAAGAAAACAUACCAUUUCGAUGGUUGGUAAGCGUGAGACUGCGACCAAAGUUCGAUUCCGACAAGAGAAAGCACCGGGACAGAUGGUUGAGCUCCGUUUAGAAGUAGACCCAACAGCCGCCGGCGAACAAGGGCGGCGACCGUGACUUCAAAGAGACGACUUGAGGGCGACCGAGCUCGGCGGAGGCGGCGGGACUUGUCAGCAGGGAUUUUUCUGACAGUGUCAGACUGGCACGGCUCUGACGCUUUUUUAAUUAAUUAAAGAAAGAAAUUCGUAAUUGGACAUGGGCUGCGGGAGCGCGAAAUAAGACUUUCCUUUUUUUUUCUUUUUUUUUUAAUUUAGCCUUUUCUGCUUAUUCGCAAAUAAAAUUUAUUAAUUUGACACGAACAUAUAGUGGUGUAUUUUCUACUAGUAAUUAUAUAAAUUUAUAGAUUUUAAGGGAACUUGGAUCUUAAUUGUCAUUGGAGAGGAAGUGAAUGAUGAUAUAACAUGAAUUAAUAGAGGUAAUUGAAAAAUGUCACAAAAGAAAUCGUGUUCCGAUAUCCAUUUUAUUAAUACAUUGAAAAAGAGAUAAAUCUUACAAAGUUAUUAAAAGAAUCUUAUUCUUUGGGACAGAAAUGUUAGGUCAGAGAAACGUGGAGGACUGAGCAAAUAAAUGACAAAAUAAAAGCAAUGAAAGUCACUGAUUUGCUGCCCUUUGACCGAUUGGAUUCUAAAUAUUUAAUUUUCAAUUGGAUUCUAAAUAUUUUAUUUUGCUCAAUUGACUCCUAAACAUUUUCAAUUUUAGUCAAUCAGUUCCCUUGAAUAUUACCCUUGAAAAGAGCCACAUGGCUGUGAUUUUCCAAGUGAACAAGCAGAUGCUUGAGGAGAAAACCUGUAGGAGAAGAGGCGAAGCCAUUCAAGGAGAACUCUCAAGAAGCCAAUUUUUCAGACGGUUUCUCAAUCAUCACAUAGAAAAGUACCAGGAUUUCAUUACCCAUUUCACUUAUUUCUGCUAUAAAACUCACGAGUAUCAAAGUAUAUCAGGCAUAGUUAUUUGUACUCCAGCAGAGCAAGUAAAAAGGCACAGAUGAUACUCUCCUCUAGCUGAAACUCCCACUUUUCCUCUCUGUGUGAUCAGCUUUGCCAGCAACAAUUUCCAACUUCCCAAAUUGAUGGUGUCACUUCAAGGAGUUCUCAAUGUCAAUCACGAAUCGGUACUUAAUAUCUCUCUUGAUGAGCCUCUCGAGAGCUUCGUUGGCAUAAUCAAUCGGUAUCACUUCGAUUUUUGGGUAUAUCUUCUGCGCCGCACACAGGUCUAUCAUUUCUUGGGUAUCCUUUGUUCCUCCCGUUACGCUACCCGAAACAGUUCUCAUAUCUGCCAAAAGUUCACCGCGAGCAACUUAGUUCACCUAUCAGGAAUGAAAUUUCAUUUAGUAAUCAGAUUUGAGAACAAAAACAUACUGAGGUUAAGGCUGGCUGGACUGAAUUUAACUUCGCUCGGGAAGCCGACCAAUGCUAGAAUGCCACCCGUCUUCAAAACAGACAUGUAAGGAUCAAAUGGGUGAUCGCCGGCUGCCGUGUCGAUUAUAAAGUCCAGGGACUUAGCAAUGGCCUGCAUGCAUUGGAUUUAUCAGAUCACAACAGAAUUUGACCACCAUGGAUCUCAAUGUGGAUAAUUCUAGUUUUUCCUCUUUUUACCUUCAUCUGCUCUACGUCAGAUGAGAUAACGAAAUGGUCAGCCCCAAGCAGGCUCAGUGCUCCCUCCUUUUUAGAAAUGCUUGUACUGAACACUGUGACUUUCAGUCCAAAAGCCUUCCCAAACUUAACUGCCAAAUGACCGAGCCCGCCAAGUCCAAUUACACCUAGAGACUUACCAGGUUGGUUCUUUGUGACGUAUCAUUGGAGUGUACACCGUGAUUCCAGCACAGAGCAAUGGCGCUGCUAGAUCCAUCGGGUAGUUUUCUGGAAUCCUGAAGCAAUACCUGUCAAUGAAGCACCACGAUUAAGUUUCCAAAUAACACCAAGAGAGGAAGUGGUUUCCCAAUAGAAUCAGCAUCCUGUCUUUGUUGUCUAAAAGGAAUCAAAUCACAGAGCCAGACAUCCUAUCUUCCACAUGCUUGGGAAUUUUACUUGCUUAGACCACAAUUCAGCAUCAUGUUGUUUCUGUGAUCCUUGUUCUGACCACAAAUUGCUCAAGACAAACAUUUCUUGCUGUAGCAAUGUAAAUAAAGCAAUUGCAGCAUACAAGAGGCCACACUCGAUUAAAAUUAAGAAAAGACACUUGCUCUAAGAAAGGAAACUGGUGGCAUAUCACAUAUGCUUGACUGAACACGUAAUUUCUGUAUUUCCUUCAAUCAAUUUCUCCAAAGGACUCAAGAUUCCUGUGGCUCUAUCAGAAACAAGAAUUAGUGAAAGCACAUACAUUUAGCUACCCAUUUGAUCUGAUAUUUAUGAUCUAACUCUAACAAUCUAAGGACAGCUUAUUCCAUUCUUGACGAUGGUUAUUCAAAAGAAAGAAUUUCUUUUCGCAUUUAAUAAAGCCAAUUCUCCAUUGAAUGGUUUGAAUGGUAAUUGGAUACAGAGGACUUAAAGACUCUCCAGAGUCGUUAUAGAAAGUAUCUUUAUCCCGUUCCACAAGAUGCAAUUAAUGCCUAAAAGCCAUUCCUCACAGUCCUAUGCAUUAUGCCACUUCUGGUCACAAUCAGAAUAAGAAGAAAAUUAGCAGAGAAGAAGACAUGACAUGAAAUCUUUUUUUGGCCACCAUGAUUUGGAAUUCUGUCACAGUGCAAAAUGCUGCCUAAUAACACUGUGUCAAUAAGCAAUUACCUUUCAUGGACGACAAUGUGACUAGAAUAUCCUCCCUUUGUGACUGUACCAUCCGCAUCGAUUCCAUCAAAAGUCAAAACCGCCUUUUCACAUUGGGUUUCUAGCCUGUCAUUGCAAUACUCGCACUCUCUGCAUGAAUUGACAUAAGUUCCCACCCCCACAUGAUUGCCAACUUUGAAGCGUUGGACACUGGAGCCAACCUGUUUCACAAUUCCAACUAUCUCGAGCCUGAAUCAAUCAAAAAAAUCAUUUGCAAAUUUUGUUCAGAGAAUUAUGAGGAUGGUGCUAAGAAAAAAAGAUUAACAUUCGAAUCACGCUGCAUCCUACCCUGGCACCAGAGGAUACUUGGAGUGUCCCUGCACAUUCCUAGUCCAAGCCACAUCUGCAUAGCACACUCCACAGUGCGUGAUCUUAAUCGAGACGUCUUCGCUUCCCACGGCCCUAAAGAGAUGAUUCCCAAACAGGUGAGCAUAUAAUCCAGUGAAUAAUCAGACUAGGGUACCUUUUUUUUCCAUUUUCAAGAUCAACAAACUAAGCUUGACCUACGAUUAUCGAGAAAACAAGAAACCAGAAAUGAGAAAAGGAAAAAUUCCAUGACUACAAGCAUAUUUGUCCAUACGGUAGAUACAACCUCAAAUGCUCAGAAAGGCAGCCAGUACAGGAUCCUCAUGUCUGCCAUGAAAUUCUGAGUAACCCAUAACCAACAAUUCUCGACCCAGAAUUCAGCGCAUACACAACAAAAGAAAGAACGAAAAAAAAUGAAAUGGUCUGGACCGAAAACUGUCUCGCAUGAACACUUCGGUAGAAAUCGAAAAACAAAUGGCAAUACCUGCGGGUGAAUUUGUAGGGGGAGAGGAACCCAGAAGGGUCCCGGGCAGCCCAACCGAGGCAAUCCUCCUUCCCACCCUCCGAGCUCAUCUUCUGUACCUACACACCCAGCGAAGCAAUCACACAAACGGGUACGGUUAGAUUCAUCCAAAGAAGAAGAAGAAGAAGAAAGGGUGAGAACUCGAACGAGAGAGUGCCCAAGAUCAGAGACUCGACGGGUCAUCACUAGGCGACGACUCGAGUCACAACAAGCUCGCCAUCACUCACUCACCUACACCCACCUACCCAAACACAACCCCACAGCAACUCAGAGAGAGAGAGAGAGAUGACUACGGAGAUGGAGAGAGGUUACGCGGUGGAGUAUGCGGGAGCGCGAAGAGGGUGAUGAGCCGAGCAGAGCCGAGGACGGGAGGUUCAACGAAGACUUUGCCCCCUCCCUACCUUGCAGGAGAGCUGCGAGUAAUCCGAUGGAUUAAAUUGGAAGGAAAAAUUAUCCCAAACUUUAGCUCAAUAUGUAACGUCAUCUAUAAAUUUUUAAUUUACUCGAUAUGAUUAUAUUAUAUGUUAUUGCAAAUUUUAAAUUAAUGGAAUAACAAUGUUGAAUAUUUUUAUAUAUUGAAUAUAUAUUAAAAGUUCAUUAACUAUAUUAAAUAAGUUAAAAGUUUACAGACUAUAUUUCGCAUUACAUUAAAGUUCAAGGACAACAUUAAAUAAAUUAAAAAUUUAGGGAUUACAUUGCAUGUUAGAUCAAAAUUCAAGAUCAUUUAUGUGGUUAUCACAAAUAACUACUAUCAAUGGAAUUACCAUUAGGAAAUUGAAUAUCUAAACGGAGUCGAAGAUAAGUAUUUAAGUUUGUCAUGCCCCGAACCCCGAAGGCGUGUCCAUCUCUCUUUGGUCGAUAAUAUUUUGUGACUUCUCAAGACAAGUCGUCAACCCUUUUUGUUUUAUUGCACAUGCGAAAGCAAAUAAUAAAUCUCCUGUUAGUAAUCAUCUUGGGAUAGAAACAUGACAACAGAUUCAUAAACAAACAUGCUUUUGUAAUUACAUAGUCAUGUAUAGGGUUUAUGACCAAAAGAUCACAAGGACUGGCUUUUAAAAAAGAAACGGUUCUAAUUGACCUACAUUUCUGAUCAUCUCCUCUCAGCUCUAGGUCCUUCACUUGACGACUUUGAAAGACAAUGUCUCAGUAAGUCCAUCUACUAAACCCUGAUUAUGAGGGAAAUACGCUUCAGGACACUCUAGUCACACAACCACACAAUUAGAUAGGAAACUUAUCUCGCCUUAGUUUCUUCCUAUAGAUUAGCACAAUUCAUAUCUCAAAUGCAUGCAAUUUAUGCAUAUGACAAUUAAAACGCCUUACUUUUCUUAAUCAAUUACAAGGGUCUCAGCCCAGUUCAUCAUAGGAGUCUCAAUUAUAAGACCAAACUGUUAUGAUACAAUCCAUAUCAUGCCACGCAAUUUUGUCUCAUAAUCAAGCGCAUCAAACUCAGACAAUCAUGCGUUCCAAUUGUUAAUUAAGCCACUCAAGGCACUGUCGACAUCCAUGUUCGAUAGUCUAUUGGCAUAGCCAGGUAUCGUCUCUUCCUCAUAGAGCACGGCUACGUCACAUUGGCGACUAUCCCGAACGCGCUUAGGUCCAGAAUCUACUACGACCCGCUACCCUAAUGCAUGGGUAACCUGAAAAGUGGGAUUUAGUAAUGUCCAGCGUAAACGCUAGGACGGGUUCACUUUAACCAACACACGACCACUCAAUCUCGGCCUAGGAUACUGUGCAUUGUACACAAAUGCCUUAAUUAAAGUAGUGAUCCUGGUAUAUUUUCUUCGUAUUAAAAACAUUCCAGAAAAUAGUCGUGUGUGGGUAUACAAUCAGAUUGAACCCAAAAAAUUCAUAACAUUCUUUUAAAAAAUCCAAUGGUUUAUACUGUAUAUAAAACCAUUUUCGGUAUUUAAAACCCGACACCCAAGAUUUUCUGAAUAAAUAACAAAUUUUAUAAAUUUUUAGAAUAAAUGUCCAAAAAUCCAAUUAACACUCAAUUUGCGUAAUUUAACACUCGAUUGUAGAAAUUAACCACACCAUUGCAAUUAGUACGAAAUUCCGAUCAUUGGCUAUCCCGGCCUAAUUUGCGGAAAAUAUUUAAUAAUUAAUUAAUUUCUAAAAUUAAUUAAAUAAAUCAAUUUAAAUACUAAAAUGCCAACCUAGGCCAAAAUCACUAAAUUAAAUACCAACACGGACCCAAAAAAUUCUUGAACCCUUCUAGAUAAAUAACACAAUUUAUCUAGGUCUCACUUAAUCUAAUCUAAUCACCUAACAUGUAUAAUUGCAUAAUUAAAUCACUAAAUUAAUCUAACUAACCACCUAAUUCAUAAUUAAAUAAAUAUAAACACAUCUUAGACAUCAUUAGCCUACUAAGAAGAGUUUAGUGAAUAAACUCACCGGUUAAUUGCGAAAACCGGUUCACUGCGAUGAUGACGUGACAGCAGCUGAAAUCCGAAUUUUCGGUAGCAUCGAUAGACACUCAGACCGGGCACAAAAACCUUGCAAGCCCACAGCAAAUUGCUAGGCUUGGUCUGGGCUUGACCUGAACUUGGGCCUGAGCUUGGGCUGACUUGCUUUGUGGGCUUGGGCUCGGAACAAAAGCUGAAAUUACGAACUAGGCUUGCGACACUUGCUGGGCUUGACUGAAGAUGGGCUACUGCGCAGGCUCAAAGGAGCUGCUGGGCCGGAAUUGUCGCAGUGAAGAUGGACUUCAAAUUGCUGGGCCGAGAAGCCUAGCCCGUUCACGGCCACAGCUGGGCUGAGCUAGGGCCGAAGACACAAAAUGGAGAAACGGGCGUGGAAGCUGGGCUGCUUCAACUUCGCUGGAAACGUGGAUGGCUUGAAGGAACUGAGGCAGCCACGAAGAUGGAAGAAGCAACGUCGACGAACUGCUUGGGACGAUGGCAGCUGGUGGAAGAGUCAACUUCGGUGGUCACAUGGGCUGGCUUAUUGACCGAGAGAGGGCAGGCGGUGGACGUGUGGCAGCUACUGGAUCCGCGUGAGGCUUCGGUGGGUUUUGUUUCGCGGAGAUGAGCUGCUCGGUUGAAAGAAAAAUCGGUGGUGUUGAGCUGGCGAUGUGCAGGCGUGCGUCGUUGAAGAUUUCUUGGUCAAUAAACGGCAAUAUGACAAAGAUGGUGGCUGGCUUCGGUUUUGAGGGAUAAUGGGGAGAAAACAAAGUUGCAGGUGUGCGGCGUGGAUGACCGAAGGGGAUUGGGCGAAGGAAAUGAAAAUAAAAGAAUGAAAGGAACGGCAGAAGCUGAGGAAGAAGUGUUCGUUUUUCUUGGUGAGUGAUAGAGAGACAAAAAGUCCAACACUCAGCCAAAUUCAUAAAUGCUUGGUCCCCUUAGACCUUCACUCUUAUCCCUUUUGUCUCCAAUUACUUUCUAAGCUUUCUCUUCACCAAUAAACCUAAUUUUGAAGCCCAAAAUUGUUGCCCUUUUCCAAAUCCGAAUUUCACAAUUUUUGGCCUUCAAUUUCUUCAACAAUUUCCCAAAUUCGACGUCCAAUUUUGAUGUAAAAAAAACCUACAUAAUUUCUACUAGUCCCCCUCGCCAUAUAGCUCGGUUUGCAAGGCGAAAAUCUCUUCAUUUUGACUGAUCCGAAUUUCCACUAAUUUUUCGCAACGUCCAAAUCGAUUUUUCGUAAAAAUCUCGGGAUCCUCAAAAAAUCUUCGGAGGAUGACGACGUUCCUAAAAUAGAUCGUGACAUGAUAGAAAUUUUAAUUUUUAAAAUCGGGUUCAAGUUCGCGGUUAAUUUCAAUCCAACGCGUUUUUAGCGUGACCUAAUCUACUAGGUAACUUUUAUGAAUUUUUUGUACAAUUGACCCGUGAUCGAUUUAUCUCGAGUCACAUUGUACAUAUUCGAUACAUGACGACUCUCGAUUGUUGUGAAAAUCUCGAGAUAUCAAUUACGGGCACCAGGUACCAAAACGAUAGAAAAUCGAUUUAGUGCCGAUCGACGAGUAUUUUGCAAUUAGGUGGAAUCACUUACACUCUAAUCACACAUCUCACUCAAGUUAACCUAUCUUCGGUCUCUAAUUGAUUUCGACAGUAUUGUAAUGACCCUUCCAGAUCAACACGGUUAAGCAAUCAAUUCCUGGUCGAAUUCUCAAGUCCAUUGUAUUUAGAUUCCUUAAUUGUUUCUCCAGAUAGUCUAGUUAUCUUGUGAGUGAUCGGCUCAAAGAAUAGCACUAUCAACGCGUCGACGAAAGGCCCAAUUUAUUUAAUUGAAAACGAAUUAUGAAAGUUCAAGCUGUCACAAAGUUUGCCCUAAGCAUUGAAAAAUAAAAUAAAAUAAGGGGACAAUCUAAAGAGUUUAGUACAAUUUUAGUCUUGGGAGUUUCUAUGUUACAUAUGAUCUAGUCCUCUAACUUUUCUAUUUUUAUACACUCAAAUCUUUUGUCAUAUUUAGUUUUUAUGCAAUUAAGUUUUAUUUUUUCAUUCAAGUCAAUCAACGUUCUCAACUAGUGCAAUCGAGUACUUCACUCACCCAUCAUAACACACAAUUCCAUUUUUCUUUUUCUAAGUUUACUUUUCGCUUAUUUGGCACCACCUCAACAUUGUGCGAUAUUUUCUACCUCAAUGAUAAUACUAUGUUAUUGAUUACUAUGACGCAUUCAGCAAGAGGAUUUAUUGAACGAUUUAAUUGCACGAAUCAAGAAAGUUAGAAGACUUGAUUGAACAAAAUAUAAAGUUAAGAGGAUCAAAUUGUGCCGAUAUGGAAAUUUGGAUGACUAAAAUUGCAUCAAACCCUUUUAUAGGGAGAUGGGUCAGCCACAAUAACAUAUUCUUUUUCAGUGACUGGCUUUGACACAACCAAUACAACAGUAGUACGAAAAUGAAAGAUGAGUGGACAAAAGAAGGGCAACAGAUGUUAAACGAAACCUGUUUCCCAAAAGCACCAUGCAGAAACUUCCUUUCAUUGGAAAAUUUUUCUUGAAACGGAACUAAAGAUUACUGGCUUCGACAUAAUCGAUGAACAUACCAAGAGCUGAGGCCUUAUCCAACAACAACGUGAAAAUGAAAAAUGAGUUGAAAAGAAAUGGACAGCAGCUGUCAAAUUAAACAUUUUUUCCAUGUCUCGUUCAGAACUUGUCACUCCCUCAUUACCAUCUUGACCCUUUUGAAAUUGGAAGUGAAGGUUACUGGCUUCGACAUGACCAAUGUAUAACUUGUCGCUCAUGCAAUAUGGUAUAUAGAAAUGAAAGAUGAGUAGAAAAAGAAAUGGACGAUUGCUGUCAAAUUAAAACCUUUCCCAAGUCAACUUGUCGCUCCCCUUCCUUCCAUUAAAAUGCUUUUAUGGUGGAACUGAAGAUUACUGGCUUUGACACAACCAAUGUAAACCCUCCAAGAGGUGAGAGAACUUAUGCAAAAGUAUAAAAAUGAAAGACAAGUCGAAAAGAUGAGGACAAUAACCAAACGCGUGCAACUCAAUUGCACUUUUCGAUAAGGAUAAACUGUACCUCUCCUCAUCAUUGAAAGAGAUAGGAUUAAACGCAGACGUGAUUGACAUAGAGAUUCUUACUAGAAAUUAAAUAAAAAUAAGUCUUUCUUGGUAACAGGAUGUUUGUUCUCGUGACCGUGUAGGUCUUUCUAGGUUCUCUGACGCGUGCCAUGAGGUCAUGGCAUGUUAUGCAACCAGAGAUAUCCAUUCCAUAUUUCUAUGGUAACUAUCCAUCGUUACCUCCUGUGAACCUAAGAAGAACAAAACCAAUCCAUAAAGCUGUGGAGGAUCAAGAACAACCCGCCCUAAGUUAUUGAUGAACUGAGUUAACUGUUUGAAGCCUAAGUAGCGAAUCAUUUAAAGUUUAAGCUACUAAAAUGUCAGAUGCCAAACAGAAGGAAAAUCUACAGAGCCAACAUCUGCAUCGGAUCAACGAUGGCAUAUCAACAACUAAGGGAAAAAUCUGCUACUAAAUAUUUAUCUGAAACUACAAGCGAGGAUCGCGUUGCACUUGCAUAAGUCUGUUAACGCAGGUCAAUGGUCAUGUUCUGGCCAGCUAUGUAAGAAGUUUGAAAACUCUACACGGACAGGCACCAUUUGCAAGAAGACCUGUUCCCUCAAAUGCUCAUCUUUGUACUGAGCUGGAAAUGCUUUUAGCAGAUGACUGUGCCUCCAGAAACAAAUCGCACGAAGUGGCCCACAAUUCUCUGGCAAGUCCGGUGUCGUACGAAACUGAAGAAGAGUUGAUAGUCCGGCACUUCCCACCAAAGAAUACACACCAGAAAUUUCCUAUAUUUGCAAGACAGCGGCUAUUAGUAAGCACUGUUCCAACAUAUAAUAGCAGCCGCAUAAGAUUGAUACCACAGAUUAUCAGCAGAGAAGGGAAAAUCAAUUCUGGAAACACUCUGUCAUACCGUAGAAUCAACAUUAAUGGAUUUUAUGUCCAAUGCUAGUACGACCUCAAUUGAGGAUAAAACGAGAGAGACUCAUUCAAGAUGGUUCAGAUAAGUGAAGCACCAGUACAGGAAUGCUUUACACCAGCCCCAUUUAGUGGGAAAAAAUCACUAUCACCCAUAUCUGCAGCUGUGGUUGCCUAUUGAGAUGAAACACAAGUGAUUUCAUUGCAGUCCCAUCUAGCAGUCCCAUCUAGCAUAUAGCAGAAAUUAAAGAUAACGAUUGCAGUCAGAAAAACACAUAAGAGAAUUGUUGCUGUAACUCUCUUUACUUUAUUCAUCAGAACAUAAGCCUAUUAAAUACGCAGAACAUCCAAACCACUAAGCAAGAAAAUAGCUAUAGAACAACAACAACAAAGACCCACUAACACACCCCACUGACCAGAACAUGUGGAGAAACUAACUCCUAAAAACAAGCCACUUCCUAUUGAAUAGGACUCCACUAUUACAUUAUUGAAGACAUGUAAAAACUGAAAGUUCACUACUUCAACAAUUGAUGGUGUCACUUCAAGGAGUUCUCAAUGUCGAUCACAAAUCGAUACUUAACAUCUCUCUUGAUGAGCCUCUCUAGAGCUUCGUUGGCAUAAUCGAUCGGUAUCACUUCGAUAUUUGGGUAUAUCUUCUGCGCUGCACAUAGGUCUAUCAUUUCUUGGGUAUCCUUUGUUCCUCCCGUUAGGCUACCUGAAACAGUUCUCAUAUCUGCCAAAAGUUCACCGCGAGCAACUUAGUUCACCUAUCAGGUAUAAAAUUUCUUUUAGUAAUCAGAUUUAGAACAAAAACAUACUGUGGUUAAGGCUGGCUGGACUGAAUUUAACUUCGCUCGAGCCGACCAAUGCUAGAAUGCCACCCGUCUUCAAAACAGACAUGUAAGGAUCAAAUGGGUGAUUGCCGGAUGCCGUGUCAAUUAUAAAGUCCAGGGACUUAGCAAUGGCCUGCGUGCAUUGGAUUUAUCAGAUCACAACAGAAUUUGACCACCAUGGAUCUCAAUGUGGGAUAAUUCUAGUUUUUCCUUUUUUUACCUUCAUUUGCUCUACGUCAGAUGAGAUAACGAAAUGGUCAGCCCCAAGCAGGCUCAGUGCUUCCUCCUUUUUAGAAAUGCUUGUACUGAACACUGUGACUUUCAGGUCCAAAAGCCUUCCCAAACUUAACUGCCAUAUGACCGAGCCCGCCAAGUCCAAUUACACCUAGAGACUUACCAGGUUGGUUCAUCUUGUGACGUAUCAUUGGAGUGUACACCGUGAUUCCAGCACAGAGCAAUGGCGCUGCUAGAUCCAUCGGGUAGUUUUCUGGAAUCCUGAAGCAAUACCUGUCAAUGAAGCACCACCAUUAAGUUUCCAAAUAACACCAAGACAGGAAGUGAUUUCCCAAUAGAAUCAGCAUCCUGUCUUUUUUGUCUAAAAGGAAUCAAAUCACAGAGCCAGAAAUCCUAUCUUCCGCAUGCUAAGGAAUUUUACUUGCUUAGACCACAAUUCAGCAUCAUGUUGUUUCCGUGAUCCUUGUUCUGACCACAAAUUGCUCAAGACAAACAUUUCUUGCUGUAGCAACGAAAAUAAAGCAAUUGCAGCACACCGGAGGCCACACUCGAUUAAAAUUAAGAAAAGUCACUUGCUCUAAGAAAGGAAACUGGUGGCAUAUCACAUAUGCUUGAUUGAACACGUAAUUUCUGUAUUUCCUUCAAUCAAUUUCUCCAAGGGAGUCAAGAUUCCUGUGGCUCUAUCAGAUACAAGAAUUACUGAAAGCACAUACAUUUAGCUACCCAUUUGAUCUGAUACUUAUGAUCUAACUUUAACAAUCUAAGGACAGCUUAUUCCAUUCUUGACGAUGCUUACUGAAAAGAAAGAAUUUCUUUUCGCAUUUAAUAAAGCCAAUUCUCCAUUGAAUGGUUUCAAUGGUAAUUGGAUACAGAGGACUUAAAGACCCUCCAAAGCAGUUAUAGAAAGUAUCUUUAUCCCUUUCCACAUGAUGCAUUAUGCCACUUCUGGUCACAAUCAGAAUACGAAGAAAAUUAGCAGAGAAGAAGACAUGACAUGAAAUCUUUUUUUGGCCACCAUGAUUUGAAAUUCUUUCACAGUGCAAAAUGCUGCCUAAUAACAUUGUGUCAAUAAGCAAUUACCUUUCAUGGACGACAAUGUGACUAGAAUAUCCUCCCUUUGUCACUGUACCGUCCGUAUCGAUUCCGUCAAAAGUCAAAACCAUCUUUUCACAGUGGACUUCUAGCCCGUCAUUGCAAUACUCGCACUCUCUGCAUGAAUUGACAUAAGUUCCCACACCCACAUGAUCGCCAACUUUGAAGCGUUGGACACUGGAGCCAACCUGUUUCACAAUUCCAACUAUCUCGUGCCAAUCAAUCCAAAAAAUCAUUCGCAAAUUUUGUUCAGAGAAUUAUUAGGAUGGUGCUAAGAAAAAAGAUUAACAUUCGAAUCACGCUGCAUCCUACCCUGGCACCAGAGGAUACUUGGAGCGUCCCGACAUAUUCCUAGUCCAACCCACAUCUGCAUAGCACACUCCACAGUGCGUGAUCCUAAUCGAGACGUCAUCGCUUCCCACGGUCCUAAAGAGAGAAUUCCCAAACAGGUGAGCAUCUAAUCAAGCAACUAAUCAGACUCAGUUACCUUUUGUUCUCAUUUUCCAGAUCAAUAAACUAAGCGUGGCUUACAAUAAUCAUACAUUCAACCCAAAGCAAAAUUUAAGAAAAGAGAAAUGAAAAGGAACCAAAUCCAAGACUAUAGCAUUUGUCUGAAUAGUACAUACAACCUCAAAUGCUCACAAAGGCAGCACCUGAAUCCUAAUGUCUGCCAUGAAGUUCUAAGCAACUCAUUCUGGGACAUGACAUCUCAUGCGUACGAACAAUUCUCUACCCAGAAAUUAGUGCAUACACAACAAAAUUUAUAAAAGCAAAACGAAAUGGUUUGGUUAAUGUGGAAAUUUAAAUAUAUGACAAGCAUCAAAAACUGUUUUGCAUUACAGGUGAGAGGAUAAGACCUGAGAACACUGUAUUGAGAUUAUUCAGACAAAUACUUCAAUAGAAAUUGAAAGUAUAAGGAGCAGAUGAAUUAAAUAAAGAACAAUGGUAACAGUAAUACCUGCGGCUGAAUUUGUAGGGGGAGAGACGUCCAGAAGGAUCUCUGGCAGCCCAACCAAGACAAUCUUCCUUCGCACCCUCUGAACUCAUCGUUCCUCAACGACCUCAACUGAAAUCGACCCACAAAAAAAUUGCUGCGUUAAUCUCUCAAUAAGCUGAAUUAUGGAAGAAGAAGAAGAAUUAUUUUCGUGAAAGAGAAAUGAAGAAGAGAAUUUCAAACCGAAAAACAGAAGUUCAAAUGGUCAAAAGGCCAAAUGUCACGAAGACUUGGCAAUUCCGUUUCCGUGCAGACAGGAUUUUGCUGUCUGACUUUUGAGCAAAGAGCGAGAUUGAUUAGCAGAGAACGAGGUUGAGCGCUCAAAAACCGUCACCUCUUUAUAGAUGCCAUAGCGUCGCCUGUUCUUGAUUUUUUUUUUCGUUUUAUCUUGUGGAAAAGAAUUAGUGCCAAACGUAAGCCAUUACCUUUCCCAGUAACGUCUUCUGGAGUACGGUUCUUGGUAUUUGCGGAAAUGUGUGUUUGAUGUGUGUGUAAGUGUGUUUUGUGUGUGAACUAUCAAGAGAGCAAAAGAACUAAAAAACGAUGUGAGGAAGAAAUAGUUGGACAAAAUAAUAAUGAGAAUGUGUAAAAGACAAUAAGGCUGAGGCGGUGAAGGAGAGAAACUUGAAUGAAAGUCAACAAUAGUGGCUGAAGAUGAAACUAGUAUGUGGACAGAAAGAGUAUUUGGAGAAGAAAAUGAGUUGUCUUGUAGCUGUACUGCGGCAGUGAAAAAGUGAAAAAUGUCAUGUCGGUUGUAAUUGCCUAUAUAGGCUUAUCAUAUGCUGUGUGAGGUGAACCCUUCACCUUGUGUGGGGUGACCCCUCCACUGUGAGAGGUCUUAGACCUCCACCAUGACCAUAUGAAGAGUGACUAUCAACACCUCCAUUAAAUUAUUUUGUCUUCUUCAAUAAGUUCUUGACAGCUGGAGUUUGAUGAAGAAACUUUGAUUCAUGCUUCUAUUUCUCAUGCACGUAGACUUCUUUAGCCUGUUCUAGGAUUUCUUCUUCAACUUGGCUUUUUCUUACUUGCAUUCCCAUGUGAAUCUUUUAGGUUCAGCUAGCAACCAUCAUUCUCAACAAGUCUAAACAAUCUUCAACAUGGAUGCUGCUACCAACGUUUAUUAAUUUUUAGACAGUUUUAGAGAAAAUGAAUUAUAAUUUCCAACAUAUAGUAUUUUGGAGAAAAAAGUAUUUCAGCAUAACUGUGCAAGGAUUUGUAGAUCACUACAACAUCACCGGAGGCAAAUAAUUAUCCGUCAUUGACAUGAACGAUAUAGAAAAAAUUCUUUUAAUCAUUUACCUUAGUUUAGCAAGAUCUGCUUAAACGACAGCCUUGAGUAUCUUCAAUUCCUUUUCUCUUGCCUUCAAAAAGAUAUUGAAAUGCGACACGGAAUAUCAAGACAGAUUGUCAUUGACAAAGCCGUAAAAGCCUACUCGAUCUGGCAAAACUGGGGACUGUUCUUUCCAACGAUCUUGACCACCUCGGCAGCUGCUGUGCAAAUGGAUAGGAAUGCAUGCAGAGGGACAAGCUGAUUGUUACCUGCUUUUAGUCGUUCAUUUGAAACUGUAAGAUUCAUGUGCCAUAAGAUAGCUAGACAAGCGAGCAAAAAAUGAUGCGCCUUGCACCAAAGGUGGCAAGAGCAAUUAAAUUAAAUUCAAACCAAAAAAAGCUUGAUGCAUAAAAUGAAAAGUCAUCCUUUGAGCGAAUAAAUGACAAAGUAAGUGCAAUGAGAGUCACUAAUGUUCACGCUAGACUUAUGCCAUGACCAUUCCUUAGUCGAGAGAACGUAAGCAGCGACAUCUUCUAGAUAGUGGUUACUAGCAAUUUUAUUUUUUAUCCCCAGCCUAAUCAUAUUAUCCGAGUUAUAAGCUCAGAAAGAAGUCAAUGAGCAAUCUACCGCUAGGACCUAUGAAUGGUCAUACGAUAUUGGUUACACAUCUUGUUAGAAUAUAAUAUGCGGAAAUAAUAGGAUCUUGCAAUUUACGUCAACGCGCAAAAUUCCAGAUAAAUAAACGAGAAAUAAUAAGAAUCAUAAAUUUACGUGAUUCAGUCCGAGUAUCGAUAUUUACAUUCACAGGGAGAGCCAGCAACAAAUAGUCCAUUAUAAUAGGAAAAUCAGAAUUUACAAUCGCACACACGCUCGAUUACUUCCCACACCAAGAUUUAAGCUCAUACUCAAAGAGUUUAUAAAUAAAUAAUUCACUUGGAAAUUAUCUCGCGUUCAAGCUUUAAACUACAAAACAUUCUACGUACGCCAAAAACAAGAACUCCGGCAUUUGUCUUUUGGUUCGCGUACAUACAGAUUCGUGUUCUUCUUUGCUUGAUCGUUCGUGUGGCGCUGUUCUAGACGCUCCUUUUGUGUGGCUCUUUCUUCUUCGUAGGGCUUCAGCGACUCUUUCUAAAAGAAAAAAAAAAAAAACGUGUUCUAAUUUAUAUGUGAGCCUAGAGUCUAACAACUUUGACUUUGAGCCCCACCACGUGCUUCUUUGUUCAAUGGGAAGUGGGACGCGGUGAAGAGACCCUACCUUUUUCUUCCUCUUUCCUUUAUUUUAUAUAUAUUGUGUGCCCAAAGUUAAGACUUUGACUUUGGGCCCCACGUAGAGAGCCUUGUUCGGCUCCCGUAGAUAGAUAAAGAAGAAUCUUUGCUCCUUUUUUGUUAUUCUAUUUUAUUUUCUCUUUUAUAAACUUUCAUGGAGUCCGACGAAGCUUUUUUUUGUUGAUCGAAAAUAUCCAAGACCCAAAAAGAAUUUCGAAUUUCUUUUCUUGUGCAUAAUCUUGAAUAUUAUAUUCAUCAGAAAAUAUCUUCACGAUCAAAUAAUAAAAAAUUUAUCCAAGCAAAUUGCGUUUUGCAAAUAUUUAAAAUUGAGACAUAAUUUAACACAUCUGAUAUGAUGUACUACCCAAUUACUGUCCUCUGACAAUUUAUAUUUGAUUAAUUUAUUUCAAGAAUAUUCAUUUGUUAAACUUGUUGGCUUACAAAUCACUGUCACUAUCACGUGAUAUAUCCUAUAUUGAGAAUACUUGGGAGCAUCUAUGCUUGUUUUAUGUAUGUUAUGCUUGUGAUGCAUCUUGUUUUGAGUGGACUGUAGAACUAUUUAAGUUCAUGCCAAUUUGACUAAUUUUUUAUCUGGAUAAGUGCAUUGGAAUAUUUAAAAACUUAUCAUAAAAAUACAAUUAAGCCAUGAAACUUUGAAAUCAAGUUCUAGAACUUGUCACGUUGGUCUAAUCUAAAUCCUUCCAUUGCAUUUUUGAAAAUUUCAGUACUUAACUACAAUUUUCUAACAAGUUUUAGUAUUUCCAAUAUACAUAUUUGUCUUUCAACCUCACUAAUGUUUUUAAGCAAUAAUGAGCUUGACAUAUCUCUGAUUUCGGAAUUUCAAUGGCUAUAGGAGACAAAAGGACGUCCUCUAAUGAAUCAACAAUCUUAUGCCAUGACAAAGCUGGAAGAGAGAUGAGUGUCUUCCAUAGUUAUAAAAAAUGUUCAUGCGAUAAUCUGUAGGAAUUCGUCUUCCUGACGUGCAUGAAUAUUUCCGGCCAUGAAACAUUUCACAGUGAAGACAUUCUGUCACUUAAACUGGCAAAAGGAUAUUGAGCUUGUUCUUUUGGCGAGGGUAUUGCUAUUAAAUAUGCCAAUUAAUUCCACGACUAUUAGCAUUUGUUUAAAUAGAGCAUACAACCUAAAAUGCUCACAAUGGCAGCUGGUACUGGAUCCUCAUGUCUGCCCAUGAAAUUCUGAGUGCCUCAGACAUGGCAUAUCAUGCACACAAACAAUUCUCAACCCAGAAAUUAGUGCGUACACAACAAAAGUUAAAAAAAGAAAAAAAGAAAUGGUUUGGUUAAUGUGGAAAUUUAACAUAAUGACAAGCAUAAAAAAACUGUUCAGCAGUACAGUAGAGAGGUCAAGACCUGAGAACACUGUAUUGAGACUUAUUCAGAUGAACACUUCAGAUAGUCACUAAAAAGCUAAGGAGCAAAUUGAAUAGAGAAGGGAAAAGUGCCAAAAAAGUCCUAAAACUUUUGUCAUUGUGCCGAUUUAGUCCUAAACAUUUUUAAGUUGUGCAAAUUCAGUCCUUUCCGGCCAAUUUUGCCCGGAUUUUGCUGACUGGACGCCAGUCAGCUGACGUGGACAAUUUUUAAUAAUAUUUUAAUAUUUUAAUAUUUUAUUUUUUAUUUUUUUAUUUUUUUUAUUCUGCUCUUCUUCCUCCAGCCGGUCGCCGGACCUCGGCGACCAGCCACCUCGCCAGUGGCCGCGGGGGCGGCCUCGCGUGGGGCGGCGAGGCUCACCCUCGCCGGAUCUGGCAAGGGUCGAGCCUCGCCCAUGGCCGGCGAGGCCGCCCUCGAGGCCUGGGCUGCGAGGCUCGCCCUCGUCGGAUCUGGCGAGGGCGAGCCCCGCUAGCUUGCCGGAUCUGGAUUUGGCGAGUGAGGGGGUUUGAGCAGGGGGAGAGAGUCAGAGGGGGUAAACCGCUGGCCACCCACCUGAGCCGCGGCCGUCGGCCUACGGCCGCGCCUGGUUUCAAGCACCGAAGCUUCGGUAGGCCUCGGUCCUUUUUUGUGCCUUGCGUUGGUCGGACUAGGCCAGAGCUCGCGGUCUUCAAGGAUUCGGUUCGAGAUCUGAGGGCGUUUGAUCUGGGCGGGACUUGAGAGAGAGAGAGUCCUCUCCCGGCCAAGCCGAGGAAACCCUGGCCACGUGAGACCACCGCCACAAUGCUGCCGCCCAAUGCCGUCCACCGCUGCUCGCCGACCCGCCGCCAUAUCCAGCGAGGGCGAGCCUCGCCCGCCCCGCGCGAGGCCACCCCCACGGCCACUAGCGAGGUGGCUGGCGAGGUCGAGGUCGACCUCACCGGCCGUCACCUCUGGCCGGUCGCCGAGGUCCGACGACCGGCUGGAGGAAGAAAACCAGAAUAAAAAAAUAAAAAAAUAAAAUAAAAAAUUCAAAAAUAUUAAAAUAUUAUUAAAAGUUGUCCACAUCAGCCGGCCGGCGUCUAGUCAGCAAAAUCCGGCCAAAUUGGCCGGAAAUGACUGAAUUGGCACAACUUAAAAAGGUUUAGGACUAAAUUGGCACCAAAAAAAGGUUUAGGACUAAAUCGGCACAAUGACAAAAGGUUUAAGACUUUUUUGGCACUUUUCCCAAAUAAAGAACAAUGGUGAUGAUAAUACCUGCGGUUGAAUUUGUAGGGGGAGAGAAGUCCUAGAAACCGUCAUAAAUGCCAUAGCGAUGGAUGUUCAUGAUUAAUCUUUGAGCUUACUAUUGUGGAAAAGUAUUAGUGAUUCGCCAAAUGUAACCCAUGACCCUUCCUUAACCCAAGAACGCAUGCAGUGACAUCUUCUAGAGAGCGGCUCCUGGAAUUUUUUCCAUCCAUCCUCCCACUACCUAAUUGCAUUAUCAACCUAUUGACACAUAAACGAUGUCAAUAGGCAAUGUGCCGUUGCACCACAAGACCCACAAAUGGUCAUCUAUGUCGGUUACACCACCAAUAAUUUGUACCUGACCCUUCAUGGUCCUAUUAUUUGAUUAAUCUGUUUAAAGAACAUUCAUUUUCUUCAAACAUGCUUUCUCACGUGCCACUGUAAUAUGAUGUUUGUUGCGACCUACCUUCGGAGGGAAGGAAUAGGUUUAGGGGUAUUGGCUAAAGGACGGGCCUAAAGCCUAUAAUUAGACGCGAGCUCUCCUAAACCUAUAUCCCGCAUGACGUUAGGAUAUUCUUAAGAAAUUUUGCUCGCCACUAACCUAUUGGGGUCGGCUAGAAACCAAGUGAGGCAUGGGAGCGUGCCUCACUUUCUACGCAACCAGAGAAUCUGGGUUCGAGGACUUAAUUACACUAAUUAACUAAUUAGUACCCUUUCGAUACCUAAUCUUGUUCAUUUUAACAAAAUGAUUUUUGGCAGGCAGUUUGAAUUGAUUUUAUACUUAUCCACUGACAUAUGAUCAUGCAGAUGCGCAAUCAUUUAAAAUAAUAAUCAUAACUACCAAGAUCCUAAUUAUAGUAAAAUUAACUCAUGCAACUAAACAAUCGCAGACACAGUCGAAUAUGUAAGUUAAACAUGCAAUAUAAUCAAAAUACGAACAAAUAAAUACCGAAUUACACAAAGAAGGGCAAUACACAACAAUUCCUAAUCAAACCCUAUAUUUUUGGAUUUACGAAUUUUUUUAUAUAUAUAUUUUUUAAAUUUAAUAAUUUUGUUUUUUUAAAUAAAUUAAAUUUUCUUUUUAAAGAAAGAUUUUUUUUUAUGUUUUCUGGAUUUUUUAAUUUUCGGAAAUUUUUUGAUUUUUGAUUUUUUUUUUUGAAUUUUUAUAUUUUUAAUAUUUAAUAUUAUUAUAAUCAGGAAAACGGGUCCGACUGGGUAGAUCCGAUGCGGCCAUUGACCCGACCCAAAACCAGAUUCGACUCUAUCGGAUUGAAAGAGAAAAUAAGAUUUUUAAUUAAUUUUUUUAGUUUUUAAACACUUUUUCUGUUUUUUCCUUCUCCUCCUUUUUUGGCCUCCUCCAUGUCUUGUCUUUUCCCUGCAGUCUUCUCAUCCUCGCCGCCUUCACCGAAGAUCCGCCCCCCACAUCUUUUCCACAUUUCUAUUCUUUUUUUUCUUUUUUUUCUUUUCACCACCCUUUUAUUUCUUUUAUUUCUUGUUUUUCUUCUAAGCUUUUCUUUUAAGUUGUCUUCUCUGCAUGCUUUCUUCUCCGCUCGAAGCUUCCAUUAAACACCCGAAACCCCCUCUGCCAUUUCAUACUUUUCUUUUAUUAUUUAUUAUUUUGCCUUUUUAUAUUUCUUUUUCUUUAUUUUUCAUUUUUUUUCUCUCUUUUUGUCCUUUUCCCUAUUUCGGCUAUUCUACUGCAUCUUCUCCUUCCGAAAGCUAACGCCAAUUCUGCAACUUCCUCGCCGAAGCUCCUUCCCACCGAAUCUCAUCCGCACACUAACGACACGGCCCUGAACAAUCGGUGACCCUUCCAUCGCCCGUCCACCGGUAGUCGCUACCCCACGGAAAGAUGAACAGGCGCAAAAGAACAACAAGAAGACAAGGAAUGGAACACGGGUCCCUAAGAUAUUAAGGAACUACGUCAACAUCAAGAAAUGUUCAGAUUCAGCCAUAACAACAACAAAACCUAAACGAAAUCAUGCUCAAUGAUCCAUAAAGGAUUCCUUUUACGCAAGACCGGAGCAUACUCAUUCCAAAUGAUCCGAAAUUCACGACCUAAUCCGCGUUAACUUAGUUCAAGCGUUUUAUCAAACACGUGGUAAGCACUGACUCGGGAUGAGGUUAUUAACUCCUCUUUGGACCCGCUCGAGUCUAGACCCAGAGAAAUCAUCAAGAAACAUGCAAAAUCGACCACAUCAACUUACUCAAACUCAGCGUGCAUAUGGGCUGACAAAAGGAACAAGACAUGGCUUCCGGUUAGACCAAAACAAGGUGGAGCAGCAAGGGUUCAUGCGAACAAGCAUCUCAUCACGGAGUUCCCUACCCAACUCGAAGACGGCAGGAAGCGGGCCAACUCGCGACAAAUCGAGCUAUAGCUCGCCGCUUUGGUAUCUUCGAGCUGGGACCCUAAUCGAAAUGCAUCCAUUUGUCUCAUGCACUAUGGGGAUCCUCGGGCAAGAGAGGUUUGAACCGAGUAAAGAAACUCACCAGCGACGCCGAGAUUCGGGGGCGAAAGAUCGUAUGCUAGAGGAUAUUGGCCAGAGGUCGUCGAAGACGGUUCGAGCGUGGCCGACCUGCUACAAAACUUCUCCCUCGCUUUUGUGCUGGUGUUUUCUCCGUUGCUCCUUCUGCCAAGCCCCCCGCUCCCUCUGUUCUUCUCCUGUUUUCUUUUAAAACUGCCGUUGGUUCAUUUCCCUUUGCCUCCGUCCAAAAUGCCUUUUGCUAGUCCACGAAGCCAGCUCUCUUUCUUUUCCAUCUUCAGCUCUAAUUUUCCUCGGUCAGUCCAGCCUCCUUGCCUCUAUGUAUGCCUGCAGCCGGUCUUCUCCUUGGGACCGAGUUCGGUCUAUUUUCAGCUACAACGGCUGCUGGUUUUCUUGGGCUUCGUCAACUGCAGGCGCUGCCACGCUGCAGCCAAGCUUUCAUUGCUUCCAUUUUUCUGAAAUCGCACUUGCCGAUCCUCUGCAGAUCCUUCUUCGGCUUCCUCCUGUUCUGUCUUCUACAGGUCCUGCGCGAAGAUUGGAGGAGGGAGAAGGAUGGGGCGCGGGCUGGGCCGACGGGGGGAAAGGAGGCUGGGCCGCGGGGGGAAAAGAAAUAUAAAAAAAAAAAAAAAUUCUUGAUUUUUUUAUUGACUUUUCGAUUGAUUUUUUUUUUUUUUGUAAAAAUAGGUAUCAACAAUGUUUUUGAUACACAAAAUACUAUCUCUUCAAGAGCUUUGACUCCUAUAUACUUGGGGCAUUAAAUUUUUUUAGCAACAAUGAGCUUGGCAUAUCUCUGUUUUCGGGAUUUCAGUUGCUAAGGGAAACAAAAAGGACGACCUCUAAUGAAUCGACAGUAUUUUGCUAUAACAAACUUGGAAGAGAGAUGAGUGUCUUACGUAGUUACAAAAAAAUGAUCAUGCAAUAGUUGGUAGAAAUUUACUCUGCUGACAUGCAUGAACAUUCUGAAAAAAAAACGGAAAACGUGCAUGAAUAUUUCCGGCCAGAAAGCAUUCACGAGGAGCUGAGAGACACUAUUUCUUAAAGCAGCAAAAUGAUUACAAGUUUGUUCUUUUAGGGAGUGGAAUGAAUAAAUUGUACAAAAAAUCCUAAACUUAUUGUCCGAUCACUAAUUUAAUUCUGAACUUUUUAAUUUGAUCAAUGUUGUCUAAAACUUUUGACAAUUUUUUGUAGUCCACCUAGUUAAAUUUAGGUCAAAAAUCAGUGACAGAGCAAUUUAGUAAACACUAACCGUUUUAAGUGAUACAACUGAUAGCUUAUAUAGAUGACUUAAAUGAGGUAGCGUCAUUUCACAAUUUUUUUUUUAAUAUUCUUUCUUUUCUUCUCUUUUAGUAAUUUUUUUCCUAUUCUUUCGUUCUCUAGUGUUCUUUUUCUUCCCUCUACUGGUGGCCGAUGCCUCAGCAAUGACCAGGGACCAUCAUAGGCUACAAGUGAGGGCAUUGAGCAAGACUUACAAGCCUUCUCCUAGAUUUGUGCAAGGGCCCUAUAGGCCCUCACUGGCCAUAGGCAAUUGGGGACUUGCAAGCCCUUGCCUAGAUCUACCCUCGCAUGGGGUCAAUGUUUACCAUCACCAAGGCCUCAAUGUCUUGCUCAAGAAAGAAAAUGAACAGCAGAGAAGGAGAUGAUAGGAAAAGAAAGAAAAAAGAAAAAAAGAGGAAAGGAAAAAAGGGAAAAAAUCUGAAAUAAUAACAAAAAAUUGCAAAAUGACGUUUCAUUUAAGAUCAUCCAUGUCAAUUGCGAAUCAUGCAACGUGGCCUACCUUGUUGGAUGCAGUAGAUUUAGGAUAUUUUGAAUAUUUUUCUCUUGUUAAAUAUGCCUGAUUUAUUUGAUAUCCUAAAAUUUGUCAACUUUGUGAAAUCAAGUUCUAAAAUUUGUUGGCAUUUUUUUCAUAUUGGAUGAAGUUAAUGAAAUGACUUGAUUACAACUACUUGAUAAGUUUUAUAACUUGAUUGUAAUUUUUGAAAAUUGUAGGACUCAGUUGCAUCUCUGUAAUAAGUUUUAAAACUUGAUUACACUAUAUGUAAUAAAUUUUAAGAUUUUCAGUAUAUUUAUCUCUAAAAUAAAUAAAUAAAUAGGGCCUACCCCCUUUACAUGAACUCUUUAAUUUAAACGCACCAUGGAAUUUCCUGUCCUUUUACACUGUUUCAUUAACUAAGAAAUUUUUUUUUUUUUGGGGUUAAAACCAAGAUUUAAUUCUUUCUUUUUUUUUUCUUUUGGACGAGCCAAGAUUUAGUUCAAAGAUAGAUAUUUCCAGGAGAAAAAAUUUCAGCAAACUAUGCAAGGAUUUGCAAAAGAUCGCAACAAUAUUACCGGAAGCAUAUAAUUAUUUAUCACUGACAAAUGAUAUAGUAAAAAUUCUUUUAGUAGUUUACCUUAAGUUUAGCAAGAUCUGCUUAUUCGGCAGCCUUGAGUUUCUUCGAUUCCUUCUCUCUUGCCUUCAAACAGAUAUAGAAAUGCAAUGCAGAAUAUCAAGACAAAUUGCCAUUGACAAAGCUGUAAAAGCCUACUCAAUCGAGCAAAACUGGGACAGUUUUUCCAGUGAUCUUGACCACCUCCGCAGCAUGCCGUGGAAAUAGAUAGGAACACAUGCAGAGGGACAAGCUGAUUAUUACUUGCUUUUAGUCAAGCAUUCGAAACUGUAAGAUUCAUGCACUAUAAGAUAGCCAGACAAGCGAAAAAAUGAUGGGCAUUUCAGUUGAGGUGUCAAGAGCAAUUAGAUUGAAUUCAAACCAAAUAAAGCUUGACGCAGAAAAGAGAAAUGUUGUGCAUUGAGCGAAUAUAUGACAAAAUAAGUGCAAAGAGAGUCAUGGAUGUUCUAGCGCUUUGGCCAAUUGAGUUCUUAAAAUUUUACUUUGCUUAAUUGAAUCCUCAGCAUUUUCAAUUUCAGUCAAUUGAGUCCCUCAACCUUGAUCCUCGGAAAUAGUCACAUGGCUAUGAUUUUCCAAGUUGAUAAGAAGAUGCUCGAGAAGACAAGCGGGUAGGAGGUGAAAUGGGACCUAAGUGUAAGUUUUACUAUUUCAAUAACUACAACUGAUCUGACAGAAGAUUGAACUUUCAUGGAUCUGGCACUUCGUUUGAAGCUAUACAAACAGAAAUCAGCGGGCUCAAGAACCCAAUCUUUUAGAUAGUUUCUGAAUUAUCACACAGAAAAGCACUAGGAUAUCUUUACGCAUUCACUUAUUUCCUCUGUAAACUCACAGUUAUUAAAGUAUAUUAGGCAUCAUUUAUUUGUAGUACAUUAGGUACAGAUGUCCUCUCUUUGAGAUUCCCUCUUUUCCUCUUCUUACGAUCAGCUUUGCCAGAAGAUGUUUCCAACUUCCGACAUUGAUGAUGUCAUUUCAAGGAAUUCUCAAUGUUGAUCACAAAUCAGUACUUAACAUCUCUCUUGAUGAGCCCCUCAAGGGCUUCAUAGGCAUAAUCGAUUGGUAUCACUUCGAUUUCUUGGUAUAUGUGCUGUGCCGCACAGAGGUCUACCAUUUCUUGGAUAUACUUCAUUCCUCCAAUAGCGCUACCCAAAACUGUUUUCAAAACUGCAAAAAGUUCACUGUGAGCAACUUAGUUGGUUCGCCUAUCAUGUAUCAAUAUUUCAUUCAGUAAUGAGCUUUGAGAACAAAAACAUACCAAGGUUAAGGCUUGCCGCACUGAAUGUAAUUUCGCUUUGGGACGCAACCAAUGCUAGAACCCAUCUUCAAAAGAGACAUGUAAGGAUCAAAUAGGUGAUUAGCAGAUGCCGUGUCAAUUAUAAAGUCCAUGGACUUAGCCAUGGCCUGCAUGUAUUGGAAUCAUCAGAUCACGGCAGCACUUGACCUCCAUGGAUCCAAAGUAUUGAUAAUUCCAAAUCUUCCCAUUUGCCUUCAUCUGAAAUGGUCAGCACCAAGCAAGCUCAGUGCUUCCUCCUUUUUAGAAAUGCUUGUACUAAACACAGCGACUUUCAGUCUAAAAGCCUUCCCAAGUUUAAUUGCCACGUGACCGAGCCCACCGAGUCCAAUUACGCCGAGAGACUUACCCGGUUGGUUCAUCUUGUGACGCACCAUUUGAGUGUAUACUGUGAUUCCAGCACAGGGCAAUGGUGCUGCUAAAGCCAAUGGGUAGUUUUCUGGAAUCCUGAAGCAGUACCUGUCAAUGAAGCACCACAAUUAAGUUUCCAAAUCACACCAAAGGAGUAAGGGAUUUCCCAAUAGAAUCAGCAUCCCAUCUUUUUUGUAUAACAGGAUUCAAAUCACAUUUUACUUGCUUAGAGCACAAUUCAGCAUCAUGUGGUUUCUGUGAUUCUUUUUCUGACCACAAAUUGCUUAAGACGAAAACUUCUUGUUGUAGCGACGAAAGUAAAGCCACUGCAACAUAUAGGAGGCCAUACUCGAUCAAAAUUGAGAAAAGAGGCUUGCUCUUAACAGAGGACACUGGAAGCAUAUUGCAUGUGCAUGACAGAUCAUGUAAUUUCUCUAUUCCCCUCAAUCAUGUCUCUAAGGGACACGAUAUUCCCGCGACUGUUGGAUACAAGAAUUCGUGAAAGCACGUAAAUUUUAUUACCCAUUUGAUCUAACACUUACUAUCUAACUCUUGGAAACAAUCUACAAAAAAGGGAGGAAGAGGAGACAGAAGGCGAGAAUUGAGCAAUUUCCAUCUCUCUCUCUUUUAAUUAAGGGUUAAUAUCCUAAAAAAUCCCAAACCGGUACACGUGACAAAUUUACCCCGAUGGACUAUAAAAAAAACCCUAAACUUAUAUAUUUAUGACAAAUUUACCCCAAACUAAUUUAUUCGACGGCAAAAAACCCGAAAAUGGUAAAUUUGUGACAAAUAUACCAUCUGCUAAACUGAAUUAAUAUCACAAAAAAAUCACAAAAAUUGUAAACUGUGACAAACGGGGCGUAAAAUUUCAAAUUGGUAUACUAGUCAACUGUCACGUGUCAUUUAACUUAAUAAUUUGACAGUAAAAUUUAACGAAAACUAACAGAGGGUAAAUUUGUCACAAGUAUAACAGUUUAGGGUAAAUUUGUCAAAUGUAUACCAGUUAGGAGUUUUUGGUGGUUAAAAAAAUAGUUUGGAGUAAAUUUGUCACAUGUGUAUCAAUUUUGGGUUUUUUAGGAUAUUAACCAUUUAAUUAAUUUAGUUUUCAAUUUUAUUUUAUUAAUUUUUCAUGAAAAAAUCAUAUAUUAGAUUUAUUGGCUCACAUGUCAUUGUCACUUGAUGUGUAUGAUAUAUAGAAUAGUCCAAGAAAUUUGACUUUAGAUACUUGGGAACCCGUGAAUGGUCAUACAUUGUCGGUUACACAUUCAACAUGAUGUAUUAGCUAAUCAUAGUCCUCUAACGGUUUAUAUUUGCUUAAUAUAUUUCAAGAAUAUUCAUUUGUUAGACUUGUCUGCUCACACGCCACUGUCACUUGAUGUAUAUGAUAUGCAGAAUAGUCUAAGAGCUUUGACUUUAGAUACUUGGGAGUGUCUAUGCUUGUUUUAUGUCUGUUAUGCUUGCAAUGCUUCUUGUUUUGAGUGGACAGUACAAAUAUUUAAGUCCGUGUCAAUUUGAACAAUUUUCUUUAUUAUAGAGCAACAAUCUUUAAUCUAUUGUGUUCUUGACCACAAAAAACCAAAUAACAAAUAAGUAUAAACUAUUGUAGGGUCCAACGACAAUCUUUAAUCUAUUGUGUUCUUGACCACAAAAAAUCAAAUAAUAAAUAAGUAUACACUAUUAUAAGGCCCACUCCUUUAAAAAUUUGUUGCUCACAACAACUUAUUUAUUCUCAUAAUAACCCAAAGUUAUGCUAGCAAAGCUCUUUUUAGUAAGUGUAUUGAAAGUUUUAAAAACUUGUCACUAAAGUGCAUUGAGUCCUAAAAUUUUCAAAAAAAUGCAAUUUAAUCUUAAAAUUUGUCAUGAAAUGCAACUGAGUCUUAAAAUUUUCAAAAAGUACAAUCAAUUAUAAAGAUUUAUCAAAAUUGGUCCAAUUUAAGUCAUUCCAUUGAUUGUAAUUUUUGAAAGUUUUAGAGCUCAACUAUGCUUUCCUAACAAAUUUUAGGACUUAAUUAUACUUUUUGAAAAUUUUAGAACUUAACUGUAAUUUAUGAUAAGUUUUAGGAUUUUUAGUAUACUUAUCUUUUUUUUUUUUUUCACCUCAUUAAUCUUUUUAGCAACAAUGAGCUUGACAUGUCUCUGUUUUCAAGAUUUCAGUGGCUAGGGAAAACAAAAGGGAUGUCCUCUAAUGAAUCAACAAUCUUCCUGCCAUGACAAUGCCGGAAGAGAGAUGAGUGUCCUACAUAUUUAUCAAAAAUGUUCAUGUUAUAAUUGGUAGGCAUUCACUCUGCCAACGUGCAUGAACAUUUCCGGAGAUGAAACAUUCGUGAGGAGCCAGUAAAGACAUCCUGCUAUUUAAACCGGCAAAGGGAUAUCAAGCUUGCUCUAUUGGCAAGUAUAUUGUCGUCAGAUCAGCCUAAUUAAUCCGAUAUUUUUUCAUACAAAAAAUCGUCAUCGAGGCCAACUUAAUCCAAAAUGCCAAUGGACAGGCUUUGGUAAGCUAGUGGAUAGGUAUGCCGCUUUAUCUUAUGUCGUGCUAUCUCACGAGAGAUGGUGCUGCGUUCUCUUUAGAAUGCACAUGACUUGGGAUAGGAAAACCUUAGGAUCCGACUAGGAGGAAGGAAAAAAGCAAUCUAUUGUCGGGCCAAUACAAGAUCAUUUCAUGUCAAACUCCGCAGUCUUGAGGCCAUGGAAUCUACGACAAACUUGCUCAUUCACAAGGACUGAGCAAAUAAAUGAUAAAAUAAGAGCAAUAGUCGUCAUUGAUCGUCUACCCUUUGAUUGAUUGGAUUCUAAAUAUUUUAUUUUCAAUUGGGGUCUAAAUAUUUUAUUUGAUUCAAUUGACUUCUAAACAUUUCCAAUUUUAGUCAAUCAAGUCCCUCGAAUAUUAACCGCGGAAAGAGGCACAUGGCUGUGAUUUUACAAGUGGCUAAGGAGAUGCUUGAGGAGAAAACCUGUUAGGAGAGGCGAAACCAUUCCAGCAGAACUCUCAAGAAGCCAAUUUUUCAGACAGUUUCUCAAUCAUCACAUAGAAAAGUACCAGGAUUUCAUUACCCAUUUCACUUAUUUCUGCUAUAAAACUCACGAGUAUCGAAGUAUAUCAGGCAUAGUUUAUUUGUACUCCAGCAGAACAACUAAAAAGGCACAGAUAAUGCUCUCCUCUAGCUGAAACUCCCACUUUUCCUCUCUGUGUGAUCAGCUUUGCCAGCAACAAUUUCCAACUACCCAAAUUGAUGUUGAAAUUUAAUCAAAUAGACUCAGAGAAGAAAACCCGCAAGAGAAUUGUUGCUGUAACUUUCGUUAAGAAAACCCACACGAGAAUUGUUGCUGUAACUUUCGUUAUUUUAUUCAUCAGAACAUAAGCCUAUUAAAUAGGCAGAACAUCCAAACCACUUAGCAAGAAAAUAGCUAUAGAACAACAACAACAAAGACCCACUAACAUACCCCACUAACCAGAACAUAUGCAGAAACUAACUCCUAAAAACAAGCCACUUCCUAUUGACUAGGACUCCACUAUUACAUUAUUGAAGACACAUAAAAACAAAGUUAACUACUUCAACAAUUGAUGGUGUCACUUCAAGGAGUUCUCAAUGUCGAUCACGAAUCGAUACUUAACAUCUCUCUUGAUGAGCCUCUCCAGAGCUUCGUUGGCAUAAUCGAUCGGUAUCACUUCGAUGUUUGGGUAUAUCUUCUGUGCUGCACACAGGUCUAUCAUUUCUUGGGUAUCCUUUGUUCCUCCCGUUACGCUACCUGAAACAGUUCUCAUAUCUGCCAAAAGUUCACCGCAAGCAACUUAGUUCACCUAUCAGGUAUAAAAUUUCAUUUAGUAAUCAGAUUUGAGAACAAAAACAUACUGAGGUUAAGGCUGGCUGGACUGAAUUUAACUUCGCUCAGGAAGCCGACCAAUGCUAGAAUGCCACCCGUCUUCAAAAGAGACAUGUAAGGAUCAAAUGGGUGAUCACCGGCUGCCGUGUCGAUUAUAAAGUCCAGGGACUUAGCAAUGGCCUGCAUGCAUUGGAUUUAUCAGAUCACAACAGAAUUUGACCACCAUGGAUCUCAAUGUGGAUAAUUCUAGUUUUUCCUCUUUUUACCUUCAUCUGCUCUAGGUCAGAUGAGAUAACGAAAUGGUCAGCCCCAAGCAGGCUCAGUGCUUCCUCCUUUUUAGAAAUGCUUGUACUGAACACUGUGACUUUCAGUCCAAAAGCCUUCCCAAACUUAACUGCCAUAUGACCGAGCCCGCCAAGUCCAAUUACACCUAGAGACUUACCAGGUUGGUUCAUCUUGUGACGUAUCAUUGGAGUGUACACCGUGAUUCCAGCACAGAGCAAUGGCGCUGCUAGAUCCAUCGGGUAGUUUUCUGGAAUCCUGAAGCAAUACCUGUCAAUGAAGCACCACAAUUAAGUUUCCAAAUAACACCAAGAGAGGAAGUGAUUUCCCAAUAGAAUCAGCAUCUUGUCUUUGUUGUCUAAAAGGAAUCAAAUCACAGAGCCAGAAAUCCUAUCUUCUGCAUGCUUGGGAAUUUUACUUGCUUAGACCACAAUUCAGCAUCAUGUUGUUUCUGUGAUCCUUGUUCUGACCACAAAUUGCUCUAGACAAACAUUUCUUGCUGUAGCAAUGUAAAUAAAGCAAUUGCAGAAUACAGGAGGCCACACUCGAUUAAAAUUAAGAAAAGACACUUGCUCUAAGAAAGGAAACUGGUGGCAUAUCACAUAUGCUUGACUGAACACGUAAUUUCUCUAUUUCCUUCAAUCAAUUUCUCCAAGGGACACAAGAUUCCUGUGGCUCUAUCAGAUACAAGAAUUAGUGAAAGCACAUACAUUUAGCUACCCAUUUGAUCUGAUACUUAUGAUCUAACUCUAACAAUCUAAGGACAGCUUAUUCCAUUCCUGACAAUGGUUAUUGAAAAGAAAGAAUUUCUUUUUGCAUUUAAUAAAGCCAAUUCUCCAUUGAAUGGUUUGAAUGGUAAUUAGAUACAAAGGACUUAAAGACUCUCCAGAGCCGUUAUAGAAAGUAUCUUUAUCCCUUUCCACAAGAUGCAAUUAAUACCUAAAAGCCAUUCCUCACAGUCCUAUGCAUUAUGCCACUUCUGGUCACAAUCAGAAAUUCAGAAUACAAAGAAAAUUAGCAGAGAAGAAGACAUGACAUGAAAUCUUUUUUUGGCCACCAUGAUUUGGAAUUCUGUCACAGUGCAAAAUGCUGCCUAAUAACGCUGUGUCAAUAAGCAAUUACCUUUCAUGGAUGACAAUGUGACUAGAAUAUCCUCCCUUUGUGACUGUACCGUCCGCAUCGAUUCCAUCAAAAGUCAAAACCGCCUUUUCACAUUGGGUUUCUAGCCUGUCAUUGCAAUACUCACACUCUCUGCAUGAAUUGACAUAAGUUCCCACCCCCACAUGAUCGCCAACUUUGAAGCGUUGGACACUGGAGCCAACCUGUUUCACAAUUCCAACUAUCUCGUGCCUGAAUCAAUCAAAAAAAUCAUUUGCAAAUUUUGUUCAGAGAAUUAUGAGGAUGGUGCUAAGAAAAAAAGAUUAACAUUUGAAUCACGCUGCAUCCUACCCUGGCACCAGAGGAUACUUGGAGUGUCCUUGCACAUUCCUAGUCCAAGCCACAUCUGCAUAGCACACUCCACAGUGCGUGAUCUUAAUCGAGACGUCUUCGCUUCCCACGGCCCUAAAGAGAUGAUUCCCAAACAGGUGAGCAUAUAAUCCAGUGACUAAUCAGACUAGGGUACCUUUUUUUUUCCAUUUUCAAGAUCAACAAACUAAGCUUGACCUACGAUUAUCGAGAAAACAAGAAACCAGAAAUGAGAAAAGGAAAAAUUCCAUGACUGCAAGCAUAUUUGUCCAUACGCUAGAUACAACCUCAAAUGCUCAGAAAGGCAGCCAGUACAGGAUCCUCAUGUCUGCCAUGAAAUUCUGAGUAACCCAUUACCAACAAUUCUCGACCCAGAAUUCAGCGCAUACACAACAAAAGAAAGAACGAAAAAAUGAAAUGGUCUGGACCGAAAACUGUCUCGCGUGAACACUGUACUGAGACUCUCGCAUGAACACUUUCGGUAGAAAUCGAAAAAGAAAAAAAAAUGGCAAUACCUGCGGGUGAAUUUGUAGGGGGAGAGGAACCCAGAAGGGUCCCGGGCAGCCCAACCGAGGCAAUCCUCCUUCCCACCCUCCGAGCUCAUCUUCUGUACCUACACACCCAGCGAAGCAAUCACACAAAUGGGUACGGUUAGAUUCAUCCAAAGGAGAAGAAGAAAGGGUGAGAACUCGAACGAGAAAGUGCCCAAGAUCAGAGACUCAACGGGUCAUCACUCGGCGAGGACUCGAGUCACAACGAGCUCGCCAUCACUCACCAACUCACUCACUCACCCACACCCACCUACCCAAACACAACCCCACGGGCCACAGCAACUCAGAGAGAGAGAGAGAGAGAGAGAGAGAUGACUACGGAGAUGGAGAUGAAGAGAGGUUACGCUGUGGAGUAUGCAGGAGCGCGAAGAGGGUGACGAGCCGAGCACAGUCGAGGACGGGAGGUUCAACGAAGACUUUUUUGCCCCCUCCUACUUCGCAGGAAAGCUGCGAGUAAUCCGAUGGAUUUUAUAGCGUUGGCCCGAGAUAGUUACGAAAAUAUUGGAAGGAAAAAUUAUCCGAAACUUUAACUCAACAUGUACCGUGAUCUAUAAGGAAAAAUAUAGUAUAUAGAAAUGAAAGAUGAGUAGAAAAAGAAAUGGACGAUUGCUGUCAAAUUAAAACUAUUCCCAAGUCAACUUGUCGGUCCCUUUCCUUCCAUUAUAAUCCUUUUUUAUAAUGUAACUGAAGAUUACUGGCUUUGUCACAACCAACGUAAACCCUCCAAAAGGUAAAAGAACUUAUGCAAAAGUAUAAAAAUGAAAGAUGUGUUGAAAAAAUGAGGACAAUAACCAAACGCGUGCAACUCAAUUGCACUUUUCGAUAAGGAUAAACUGUACCUCUCCUCAUCAUUGAAAGAGAUGGGAUUAAAUGCCUCUCCUCAUCAUUGAAAGAGAUGGGAUUAAAUGCAGACGUGAUUGACAUAGAGAUUAUCACAAGAAAUUAAAUAAAAAUAAGUCUUUCUUGGUAACGAGAUGUUUGUUCUCGUGACCGUGUAGGUCUUUCUAGGUUCUCUGACGCGUGCCAUGAGGUCAUGGCAUGUUAUGCAACCAAAUAUAUCCAUUCUAUAUUUCUAUGGUAACUAUCCAUCGUUACCUCCUGUGAACCUAAGAAGAACAAAACCAAUCCAUAAAGCUGUGGAGGAUCAAGAACAACCUGCCAUAAGUUAUUGAUGAACUCAGUUAAUUGUUCGAAGCCUUAGAAGCGAAUCAUUAAAACUUUAAGCAACUAAAAUGUCAGAUGCCAAACAGAAGGAAAAUCUACAGAGCCAACAUCUGGAUCGGAUCAAUGAUGGCAUAUCAACAACUAAGGGAAAAAUCUGCUACUAAAUAUUUAUCUGAAACUAGAGGAUGACGUUGCACUUGCAUAACUCCGUUAACGCAGAUCAAUGGUCAUGCUCUGUCUAGCUUUGUUAGAAGUUUGAAAACUCUACACGGACAGGCACUAUUUGCAAGAAGACGUGUUCCCUAUGCUCAUCUUUGUACUGAGCUGGAAAUGCUUUUAGCAGAUAGCUGUGCCUCCAGAAACAAAUCGCAUGAAGUGGCCCACAAUUCUCUGGCAAGUCCGGUGUCGUACGAAACUGAAGAAGAGUUGAUAGUCCGGCCCCUCCCACCAAAGAAAUACACACCAGAAAUUUCCUAUUUUUGCAAGACAGCGGCUAUUAGUAAGCACUGUUCCAACAUAUAAUAGCAGCCACAUAAGAUUGAUACCAUAGAUUAUCAGCAGAGAAGGGAAAAUCAAUUCUGGAAACAUACUGUCAUACCGUAGAAUCAACAUUAAUGGAUUUUACGUCCAAUGUUAGUGUGACCUCAGUUGAGGAUAAAACGAGAGAGACUCAUUCAAGAUGGUUCAGAUAAGUGAAGCACCAGUACAGGAAUGCUUUACACCAGCCUAUUUAGUGGGAAAAGAUCACUAUCACCCAUAAAUGCAGCUGUGGUUGCCUAUUGAGAUGAAACCCAGGUGAUUUCAUUGCAGUCCCAUCUAGCAUAUAGCAGAAAUUAAAGAUAAUGAUUGCAGUCAGAAAAACUCACAGGAGGGGCAAGGGCUGCAUCCAGAACUGAGUUGACCGCACCUUCAGGUGAAUCCAAAAGACCCAUUGCAGUUAAAAAUGCAAAAGCUGUGUAGGACAGGUAAGGGGGAACUUCUCGCAUGAUACUGGUUUUCACUACUCCAGGAUCCACAGCACUGGAAAUAAAAAAGAAACAGGAUAACAUCUCAAUUGUGCUGCCAGCAUGUAUUCAUACACAAAACUUUAGAGAAAGACAAUCUACAAAGCCUAAGUACAUUUUCUUGUUUAUAAUCAACUAGUAUAGUAUCUCUGAUAACAAAAACCAGGUUUUCAACUAAAAAGGGAUAGCUCAUAGAUUUGUGGAAAGUGGUAAGUGGAAAGUUCAAAUUCAACUACCAUACAAACUUAAGGGUGAGAUUACACUGUCCUACAAGAAUGCUUAAAUCCAGAGUGGCAGGAUUGUUGAUACAUACAGAAUGGAAACAUGACAGGAGCUUUCCAAGCGAAGGCGUCGAUGAAGUUCAUAUGAGAACAGCAGAAGGCAUACUGUAAACAAACAGGAAACUCUUACUAAAGUUUGUGAGAAGAUGUGACAUUUGCUUCUCAAAUAUUGCUGUAUCUUUUAUUCUAUCCUUUCCUUUUUGGUGCUAGGCUUCUCGAAUAAAACAUGAAACUUACAUUUUGAAUAACCAUAGAUCUGUGCACAUGGAUACUGUUUCAUCCUGAAGGAACUCUUCCCAAUAACACUUUCCUUGUCAAAUGUCGCACCACAUACUGAAGAAGAGGAGAACCGAGGAAAAGGAGAUUUUAAAUAAAUAAAUAAAAACUAUGACUCUAAACCUAGUAUAACAAUUGCACUAAAACAGAAACUGCACAGAGAAGUUGGACAGCAAGAAACUACAAGCAAACAAUACCAACUAUUUGACAUCAUAAAAGAGUUCUGUAACUUAGACAUUGAGUACAGCUAUAUUGCAUGUUCUAGUUUUAGCUUGCUAUCUCAGGCACUGUUAAAGUCCUAGAUGGGCACCAUAUUUAGUUCACUAAUUGAAUGAAAAAAUGACAUGCCAUAAGGGUCAGCAAGCCCGGGUUUCACAGAGGAACCUCCUUGCAGGCUGGCCACCGGCUGCAAUCAGUGUUCCACAGAUAAAUGGAAGUGUUUCUGACCACAAAGUGAAAAUAUCUUACCGCUUCGAUGUGUAAAGGACGUGACAUUGACUAUCCGGGAUGGAACAGGGCUGUUUCUGAGAAGUGGUAAUAAAUGCUUUGUCAAAAAGAAUGGUCCCAUGUAGUUCGUUGCCAUCAUCCUGGUGCAUAAAGAGGUGGAGAGAAGAAUCAACAGGAGAUCAGGCAACAAUGCAUUAUGAAAGACUGCAAUUAAUAAAUUCCAUUCCAAAAAGAGAAAAGCAAAACAGUGGGAGAUGCCACUUGCUACCGUGGCAACAAAUCUCCACAAGUAAACUACAAGUUGACAAGGUAUAUAGGAAAAUCAAAAUCACUAGAACAUUAGACUUUCAAUUGGGAAAGUGACGACACUAUUAUCGUUACUUAUUUAGAAAUUAGAACAUAUGCAUCUCAUUAGUUAAAUCUAAAACAACAGAAUAUAUAUUCUCCACUGUGACUGCUGUAGUGUUUAGAUUGCCAAAUAUUUGGAUCUUUGGAAAGAAUAUUGCAAAAAAAUUCCCAUGGCAAUAAGAUAAUUACUCAUCGAAGCCUUCAGCUGUAAUUCUGUAGGAUGUUGCCAACAUUCCAGCAUUAUUUAUCAGAAGCUGGACUGAGGCAUGCAUAUUUGAUUCCAACAGCCAUUGCUCAAGGGAGCAUCUGAAGUGUAAGAUUGACUCGAUAGAUGAUAUAUCAGCUUGAAAAGCUUUAAGAUGGGCAUCCUUAUUGUGUUUACAAAUCUCUGCCACUCUCUGUGACCCAAAAAAAAAAAAAGAAUCAUUGAGAGCAUCAUGUAGAGCAAAGAAGCUAAAACGGAUGCCGCACAACAAGUACCUCUGACAACCUGUGAGCAGACCGUCCAACUGCAGAGAAAGCAUAAAUUUCAGUUAAAUAAUUGUACCUGCAUGGAUCAAAACUCAUUCUUCUUGUAACAAAGAAAAGAUGCAUUUUGCAUUAACUCUAAGGACAACAAACAGUCAUUCGUACAUUAUUUGUCACAUUAAGCAAUUGACAAGCUUUUCUCUUUGCUUGAAUCACCAAGUAAAGACCAGAGAACAUUCAUAUAUCUACCCAUAACUCUUCCUAUGAGAGUGUUCAUCACAGACUGGUGGCAUUUAUGUAGACAGCCUAUUUUUUUUUCCUCCUAAUGUAGCUAUCAUCAGGAUGAUCCAGCACAAGCAAUCACAGAAAAUCCAGGCAUGGGGUUGAACUAAGUGUUGCUACAUCCAUAUCAAAGGAAUGAGGAGGAUAAACCACAGACUGCGACAUUACCAAGGACAACAACGAAACCUUCUUUUGAAAGAGCAUAAGCAGCCGCUGCACCCAAACCAGAUGUAGCCUGCAGGCAAAAGGCAGAGAAAGCUCUCAGUAGGAUAAUCUAAUUGAGGACAUUUGCUACUAGCAAAAGAAAUCCGUCUUACGCCGGUGAUAAUGCAGAGAGGUCUCAGAGGAACUUCUAUGUUGGCAUUUCGAGGGUAUGAAACAAUUCGACCAAAAAGACCACGGCUGAAGAAUUGCCAGUAUGAGGCCAGCAAAGAGAACGUCCAAAGUACUGCCAUUAUCCAGAAGUCUACUGUACAAAUGAAACAAAAAGCCUCGACCAACUCCUUUGACAUUAUUCUCAUCUUUGCCACCAUGGACUUCUUACCUGUGUUGGCAAAGUGAAAACAACAAAACAAAUUCAGGAUACUAAUAAAUCCAACAGAAAAGUAUAUGCGCACGGUAAAGUCCUAAAGUUUAUUGGAUUAGGUAGUGGAACUCGAAUUUAAAUCAAGUGAAUGUCACAAUUAAGUACUGGAGAGACCCAAUCUACGGAGAAAACACGCACCCUUACAUGACCAGUGCAGCAAAAUGAGUGCCUUGUUAUUUGACAGUCAGAGUUGAGACCUCAGUGUUCAGUCUACAGGAAAAGUUUUAGCAACCUCGAGAGAGGUAAGAACUAGGCAGAUCUCACUAUGCAACCAUAAAUCAACUAACUUCAGGUGUACUUUCAAACAAAUUCUUUGACCAAGCAUCUGAGGGAAAUCAACAAUACAGAGUUCAACAUUCUAGUUCGUAAAUACUUUGGCCUUUUCAUUGUCAUGUAUGAAUGACGGUUUCCCUAUUGUUUAGAAUGUACAGCUUUGAAGUGUCUUAAUGCCACCUUGUCUUCCCACCACAGCAAACACAGACCCAGGUAAAGGAAUCAAAUGUUAAAUCCAGUCUUAAUAAAUUUACACAUCACAACACACAACCCAGUGAGCUUACUUCAUCGGUUAGAGUCACCAUGCUCACCCAGAGUAACAAGCACACCAUCAAAAGUAAGAUUAACAGAGAUAGCAAAUGAUAUAGCUUGUUUCAAAAUGAAAUUCUGUUCAUUUCCAAGCUCCAGACUUUCCACAUCAAAGCUUGACGUCUACUCACCCUAAACAGACGCAGCUAUAAAAUUAUCAUCUACCAGCAGAACUCGUGAAAUUCCACACAAUUCAAACGGGCCUACACGCACGUCACCGACCUAGACACGUUCCCUAUUAAACAUUAAACAAUCACCACCCCAAAUCAUCUCCAAGCUCAACGUCCUCACCAUGCAACAGCUCCAGAGCUCCAAAAAGACCCAACAAGUUUUUCGCCAACCUUCACGUCAACUCAAGCUCCCCCGCUCACUUCCUCCCUGACAAUACACACCCCCCACGAAGCGCGCUCUAAGAAGCAUUACGUCAAACACAUUGGGGACAUCGAAACUCCGGGCAGAGUUCUCCCACGAACCCAACGCAAAUGGGCAUCCACGAAAACAGGAACUUGCAGAGAGGCGAACGCGGGCGCUCGUGCAGAUCACUGUAAAGCUAUUGCAACGAAACGUGAAGGGUUGCGCCGGAAACGAAAGGGCGACUCACGGGGAACGUGAAAGGGUCGAAGGAACGAAGGAAGGCGAGAGCAGAGACGGGUCGCCUCGACUCGACACGGUUCUCGUCGAAACCAGGAGAGUCUUGAGAUUGACUGGAGGAAAAAUCCGAGCUUUACAAAAAGUUAGAUGCAGGAUGAGACGAACAUCCGGUUCUUCAACCCGAGUAAAAGCGUUGACACUAAGGGCAAACUUUUCCUUGCAUAUUAGGGAGAAUUAAGUGGGAAAUUUUCGUUUAUCGAAUUCGCCAACAUGUUUUCCAAAAAAAAAAAAAAGGAAAAAAAGAAAUCACUAACGUAAUUUCAUUCACUAUCACCCCUUUUGAAAAAUCAAAUCCAUGCAUGGGACCGAUUAAAUUUCAUUCGUCAAUCAGUACUCUUUUGUAUGAGAACUUGAAGAAAGAAUGACUCGCAAAAUACAUAAAAAAAAAUGGAACAUCACAAGAUAUGCAAAAAUUACUGUAAAAGAAUCAUAGAUUACAUGUUCUAACAAAAAGGAAUCAUUUAUUGCAUUUGUGUGAUGUAAACUAUACUGGAAUUAUUUCUUGUAAAUCUUGAGAGUGGUAGUAAUUGUGUCAACAUUUGGAAUCCUAUUAGGGAUAAAUAUAUUGAAAAUAUUAAAAUUUGUCACGAAGUUACAAUUUAACCCUAAAAUUUGACCAAAAAAAAAAUUCCAAUCAAAUUCUAAAAUUUGUUACAAAGUGUAAUUGAAUUUUUAAAACUUUUAAAAAGUACAUUCAAGUUCUAAAUUUUAUUAACAUUUUUCGUUUGUCAAAUUUGAUGGAGUUUAGGAAAAUACUUGAUUAUAUUAACUUGUCAAGUUGGCUUGGGCCAAGUUUGGCAUACCUAUAGUCCGUCGGAUCCAUGUUAAGGUCUACUAGCUUUGACCCUCCCUAGCUUUUGGGCUGGAUUGGGUCGCUGCGCCCAGCCCUUGCAGGAUCUCUCUCUCUCUCUCUCUCAACUUUCCCUAUGUGUUUUUUGGUUACUUUAACAUUUUUAUUUGUCUUUUGAAUUAAUGAUCUCACGUGGCAUGGUUCAAAUUACUGGGGUGUCAGAACCAAAACCAAAACUAAAAUCUAACCGAAAUUUCAUGCAUUUUUUAUUUGAUUUGGUUUUGGUUAGGAUAAUAGAAAGAUAACGGUUAUUUGUUUUCGAUUUGGUGAAUCGAACUGAAAUCCUUAAUACAAAUAAAUGCACAACUUAAAAUCCCUCCUUUUUCUCAUCUCUUAUUCUAUUUGAUUCCAAUGAGAAGGUAAAAAUCAAAAAACCAAAAACUGAAAACUGAAUUGAAAAUAAUCCAAUCGGAUUUUUAGUUCAGUUUGUAUUUGAUUCAGAUCGCAACUUGGUUUGCUUUAAUUACUUAUCUUAUCAGUUCGGUUUGGUUCGGACUUUAGGACAUUCGAACUAAAUCGAAACGUUGACGCCCCAUUAGCCACAUAGAUGAAGUCAUGUCUAUAAUUCAACAACGUUAAUUAUGAUGGUUGACGACAGAGUCAGCAAGAUGCAAAAGAUAUAGAAAUACAUCAAAAGAAGGAAAAAAUAGUUAGAGGACCCAAUCGCAGGAACAUCAGUACUAUAUCGAGAACAAAAAAUUGCUAUGAACUAAAUCAUACAUUAAAAGUAGGAAACAAGGAGAACUAACACGACCGUUAAUAGCAGCAUUGACAUCUAUGUCCAUGGAGAAUUUUUCUUACGCAACUACCACAGGUGGAUCCCAGCUAAUUUGCUGUCUAUCUAAUCCCGGGUGAAAACGGUCGGGCCUUGGUUCGGAGCCGUCGAGGACACACGACCAUCCUCAACGCUCCAAGCUCGUCCUCCUCCGGCGCAGUGGCUCGGCCUCAUAUCCUCUAAGCUUCACGGCUUUGUAAGUCACGGCGCCAGCUAUGGCUCCGAGCGGAGGAGCCACCAUGUACAUCCACAAUCCUUUGUAGUUCCCUGCGGCCACGGCCGGGCCGAGAGUCCUCACGGGGUUCAGGGAACCUCCGGUCGGCAUCCUGCAUUUCCCGGGAACAUUGUUAAGGAACAUUAUGAAAGCUAAAAUUCUGUAACAACGCGUCCAUACUUGCACGCCCGAAGGUGAGUAGUUUCAGUACAAUGCUUACCCUGUCACAAGAACGCCAAGCAGCACCGUUGCUCCGAUUGCAAUACCUGCCAAAUCUCCUACCUAUCAUCAGAAAAAAGGAACAAAUGUAAGUGAAAUGGAUACAUGCUGUAUACAGAUGCCACGAGUACAGAUAGAGGAAGAGUCGAUAUGCAGCAUGGCGACGUACUGCACGAGUGUCGGUCACCACCGCGACGAUCACGAACGCGAGAAUGAAAGUGGCGAGAAACUCGAGAGCAAACGCCUGUCCGAUGUCCACCGAAGGCACCGUGACGCCGCCGUUGGCAAAGGGAUGGAAAACGCCCUUGAGGACGUAGGAAGCACACAUCGAGCCCGCAACCUGCGCCGCGAUGUAGCCAGGCACCUGGAUCCAUGGAAAGUGCCAGAUCACCGCGAGGGCGACUGUCACCGACGGGUUCAGGUGGGCUCCUGAAAUGUGACCGAUCGAGAAAACUAUGAUCAUCACGGCGAGCCCAGCGCAUGCCGCGUUCCCAAGCAACGUCUCUGCUCCGUUGUACUUUUGGUUCACAAUGGGCCCGCCCACCGCGCAAAGUACUAAGAAGAAGGUUCCAACGAACUCUGCUCCGACCUGCAUCGUUCAUGUAAAUCUAAAUAAGAAAAUCUAUCCUAUCUUUCUUUCUUGGUUUCACUCGCUAUGAAAAGGCAUAAGAAUUAUCAGUUUAUGCUGCAACAGCUAGCGAGCCUGUCUAAUCUUUACUGAUCUUUGAGGUCGAUUGGGCUUUACCUUCCGCAACGAAUCAUACUUAUCCGGCUGGAGACGCCGAACACCUUCCGUUGCACCGUCACUCGGCGCACACCACUUGCACUGUACCACGGACCCGUCCUCCGGCAACGAUGAGUCCACUUGCAACGUCACAGAUGCCGGUUGGCACAUCUUCUCUUGCCUGGACAGCUCGAUGGAGAUUAAGGGAGACCAGAGGUCGCGAAUAAAGGAUCAAGAGAUCGAUGAGAAGAGAGAUCAAGACGAGAGGGAGCCUUCAGUCUGUUGCCUCCGUCUAUGAUAGUUGAUUGCAGCGACCCCAAAAGCAUUUUAUAGGAGAGAAGACAACGGCUUUAACAUCGCCAACAUCAUCUUCUUGUUCACUAGUUCGGCUUGUUGACUCGCUCCAUAGGAUUCGGUCAUUCAUAGUAGUUCGGACUGUCUGCACCUUGACUAGAUCUAGGGUUACUCUAUACAAGUAAUGAUUUGACUCGGUUUGGCAUGCUCAGAAAAACUUGGAGGGCACGUUUCUAUUUCUGAAAUUUAGGUGUGCAAGUCUACAUUUGUGGACCAGAUAUUGAAUAUUUAAGACCGAUUCUAUAAAGAGAAGAUCCAUCAAAACGUAUUUUCUUUUUUUUGUUUGGGGGGGAAGAGUUAAGGGCUGCGUUUGUUUUGAUUUCUUUUUUCUGUUUUUAAACAAUUUUUUUUGUUUUUUUGUUCCUGGGAACAAAAAAGGAACAGAAACGCGUUUGUUUGCAUUUUUAUUCCAAAAUUAUUUUUUUGUUCCCAGAAACACAUCUGGAACAAAAACAAGAAACAAAAAAAAAAGUUGUUUCUUGUUUCUGGAACAAAAUUUAGGAACACUUUCUUCUUCUCUCUUUUUUCUUCUUCUUUUCUUCUUCUUUUUUCUUUCUUUUUUCUUUGGCCGGUCGCCGGCCUCAACAAUUGAACCUUCUCAAACUGUUUCUUCUUAAGAACCAAAAAUAUUUGUGCCAAAAUAACAGAUGCCAAGAAGAACAAAAGGCCUUGGACACGGAAUGGAUCUUGAAGUACUAUUUCCGCAUCUCCUUGACCAAAUCCACCCACAUUAGGAUUACUCGUUAAUGGCUGAUCAAGUUUGAUAGAUUCGCCUUCGGAAACAAGAAGUUCUGGCCCUGGUGGAAUAAUAUCAACCACUUGACGUUCAUCUGACGCAUCCGAUAUGGUUAUUUCGUACCCCCCUUUUUCUUUUCGUAUGAUUUUACUUACUACACCAGCCGCUGUAGCAUUAUAAACUGUAUUGUUACUCUUGCUCCCAUCGGGAUAAAUCUGACCCAUUCCUCUGUUCCCGCCUACAUAUAUGGGAUAUUUUAAGAAGUGAACAUCUUUAUUAGUAGCGGGGUCCGGGGAAAGAAUAGGAAAGGUGACUUCACUAUAUUUCUGACCAGAAACAGGACCUAUCACAAGAAUAUUUUUUUUAUUGGGGCGAUAGCUCUGAAAAGACAGAUUGCCUAUCUUUUCUUUCAUCUCGGGCGAAAUACGAUCGGGAGGUGCUAAUUCAAAUCCCUCAGGUAAAAUAAGAACAGCCCCCACAUUCAAACCUCCCAUUUUACCAUUAGCAAGAACUUGUUUAACUUGCAUAUCAUAAGGAAUUCGAACAACUGCUUCAAAUACAGUAUCAGGAAGUACCGCUUGCGGAACCUCAAUAUCCACGGGCUUAUUAGCUAAAUGGCAAUUGGCACAUACAAUACGUCCGGUCGCUUCUCGUGGAUUUUCAUAACCCUGUUGUGCAAAAAUGGGAUAUGCAUUUGAAAUGGAUGUCCGAGCUAUGAUAUAUAUCAUCAGCGAUACGGAAAUAGAUCGAAUAAUCUCUUUCUUUAUCCAAGAAAAGGUGUUUUUAGUUUGCAUGGUCCAAUCAUUGAUCCCGAAAAUUUCUACAAUAAAAUUAGGUAGGUCGCUUGUAUAGUUCCCUAUCCACAAUUCUGCUAUUUACUUUAUUGAAAUCAUUUUACUGGAAUAUAAGGAGUAGGAGAAAUCCCUGUAGGGUAGAAAGAGUAAGUACGUCUUAAAAUGGAAAUGCUUUGCUUAUGUACCUUAUGUUACAAAGUAACAAAUAUUCUAGUUAGAUCAGUCAUUCAUUGAAUGAUAAAUCACUACAAGUGAUGGAGAUAUACGAUUUAAAUAGCGGAAGAUCCAAUAUUUAAAAAUUGUAUCCAGAAUGACUGGAAAAGUAGAAACAAGACCCGAUAUAAUUUGAUCGUUGUGAGCAAAUCCAAAAUCUUUGUAGACAUAGCCAAUCAUUAGUUCCCAACCAUGGGGCGAAUGGAAUCCGAUACAUAAAUCAGUUAAUAAAAGAAUAGAAAAAGCUUUUAUUGUGUCACUUAAGUUAUAUAGGAAUUCUUGAACCCAAGAGUUAAGAAUAGCAAGUUCUUCAUUACCCAGAAUAGAAUAACCACUUAAAAUAAUGAAAGAGGUUAUAUUUGUCGAUAAGUGAAAAAUCAUAUGGAUAUGAUCCUCAUUGUGCAUCUUGAUCAAUUGGAUCGUUUCUUUGUGGAUUCCUAUACGAAGUGUUUGUAGAUGUGUUUCCGGGUAUUCUUUUAUCAUUUCGUCCAAGAGUAAGAGUUCUUCCAAUUCGAUGAAUUUUUCUAGAAUACUCUUUUCUUGAAUAUCAGUCAAAAAAGUUUCGGAUUGCCUAGUAUUCCACCAAUUAGUAAUCCAAAAUUCAAGACUUUUAUUAAAUGAGAGAGAGAUCCACCAGGGCAAAAAUACUAUAGAUGUAAGAUAUAGAAGAGGAAGAAAUGCUUUCUUUUUUACCAUUUUUUCAUCUUUGAAUUGUUAAUGAAUCCACCUCAUUUGUUGAAUCUAUGUGAUCUACUAUUUCUAUUAACCCUAAGUUCUAUUACAGGGCAUCGGGCCUCGGCCAUGGCCGGCGACCGGCAGUCGAGGGCCGGUGAGGCCGAGCGUCGCCGGCCCUUGGUGAGGCCGACCUCGCGCCGAGCUAGGCGAGCUCGGCCUCGCCGGGCCACUGCCAGGUCGGCAUCGCCUGGCAGUGGCCCGGCGACGCCGAGCCUCGCCAGCCACUGAUUGUCACUUGCUUUUAGUCAUGCAUUCAAAACUGUAAGAUUCAUGCACUAUAAGAUAACCAGACAAGCGAAAAAAUGAUGUGCAUUUCAGUUGAGGUGGCAAGACCAAUUAGAUUGAAUUCAAACCAAAUAAAGCUUGACGCAUAAAAGAGAAAUGUUGUGCAUUGAGCGAAUAUAUGACAAAAUAAGUGCAAAGAGAGUCAUUGAUGUUCUAGCACUUUGGCCAAUUGAGUUCUUAAAAUUUUACUUUGCUUAAUUGAAUCCUUAGCAUUUUCAAUUUUAAUCAAUUGAGUCCCUCAAGCUUGAUCCUCGGAAAUAGCCACAUGGCUAUGAUUUUCCAAGUUGAUAAGAAGAUGCUCGACAAUAAAACCAGGUGAGCCUCUCAAGGGCUUCAUUGGCAUAAUCAUCAGUAUCACUUCGAUUUUUGGGUAUACGUGCUACACCGCACAGAGGUCUAUCAUUUCUUGGAUAUACUUCAUACCUCCCGUAGUGCUACCCGAAACGGUUUUCAUACCUGCAAAAAGUUCAUUGUGAGCAACUUACUUUCUUCACCUAUCAGGUAUCAAUAUUUCAUUCAGUAAUGAGCUUUGAGAACAAAAACAUACCGAGGUUAAGGCUUGCUGCAUUGAAUUUAAUUUCGCUUUGGGACCCAACCGAUGCUAGAACGCCACCCGUCUUCAAAAGAGACAUGUAAGGAUCAAAUGGGUGAUCAGCAGAUACCGUGUCAAUUAUAAAGUCCAGGGACUUAGCCAUGGCUUGCAUGUUACGAUUCAUCAGAUCACGGCAGCACUUGACAUCCAUGGAUCUAAAGUAUUAAUAAUUCAAAAUCUUCCCGUUUACCUUCAUAUGUUCUUGGUCAGAUGAGAUAACGAAAUGGUCAGCACCAAGCAAGCUCAGUGCUUCCUCCUUUUUAGAAAUGCUUGUACUGAACACGGCAACUUUCAGUCCAAAAGCCUUCCCAAGCUUAAUUGCCAUCUGACCGAGCCCACCAAGUCCAAUUACGUCGAAAGACUUACCCGGUUGGUUCAUCUUGUGACGCACCAUUUGAAUGUAUACUGUGAUUCCAUCACAGGGCAAUGGUGCUGCUAAAGCCAACGGGUAGUUUUCUGGAAUCCUAAGGCAAUACCUGUCAAUGAAGCACCACAAUUAAGUUUCCAAAUCAUGUAAUUUUUCUAUUCCCCUCGAUCAUGUCUCUAAGGGACACGAUAUUCCUGUGACUGUUGGAUACAAGAAUCCGUGAAAGCAUAUACAUUUCAUUACCCAUUUGAUCUAACACUUACUAUCUAACUCUUGGGAACAAUCUAAAAAAAGGGAGGAAGCGGAGACAAAAGGCAAGGAUUGAGCAAUUUCCAUCUCUCUCUCUCUCUCUCUCUCUCUCUCUUUUAAUUAAGGGUUAAUAUCCUAAAAAAUCCCAAAUUGGUACACAUGUAACAAAUUUACCUUGACAGACUAUAAAAAACUCUAAACUUAUAUAUUUAUGACAAAUUUACCCCAAACUAAUUUAUUUGACCGCAAAAAAUCUCAAAAUGGUAAAUUUGUAACAAAUAUACCCUUCACUAAAUUGGAUUAAUACCACAAAAAGAUCACAAAAAUUGUAAACCGUGACAAACGGAGCAUGAAAUCUCAAAUUGGUAUUACUAAUCAACUGUCACGUGCCAUUUAACUUAAUAAUUUGACAGUAAAAUUUAAUGAAAACUAAUAGAGGGUAAAUUUGUCACAAGUGUACUAGUUUAGAGUAUAUUUGUCAAAAGUAUACCAGUUUGGAGUUUUUAGUGGUCAAAAAACUAGUUUAGAGUAAAUUUAUCAUAGGUGUACCAGUUUUGAGUUUUUUAGGGUAUUAACCCUUUAAUUAAUUUAGUUUUAAAUUUAAUGUUAUUAAUGUUUCAUGAAAAUUCAUAUGUUAGAUUUAUUGGCUCACAUGUCAUUGUCACUUGAUGUGUAUGAUAUAUAGAAUAGUCCAAGAGUUUUGACUUUAGAUGCUUGGGAACUCGCGAAUGGUCAUACAUUGUCGGUUACACAUUCAAUAUGAUGUAUUAGCUAAUCAUAGUCCUCUAACGGUUUAUAUUUGCUUAAUAUAUUUCAAGAAUAUUCAUUUGUUAGACUUGUCCGCUCACACGCCACUGUCACUCGAUGUAUAUGAUAUGCAGAAUAGUCUAAGAGCUUUGACUUUAGACACUUGGGAGUGUCUAUGCUUGUUUUAUGUCUGUUAUGCUUGCAAUGCUUCUGGUUUUGAGUGGACAGUACAAAUAUUUAAGUCCAUGUCAAUUUGAACAAUUUUCUUUAUUAUAGAGCAACCGUCUUUAAUCUAUUGUGUUCUUGACCACAAAAAACCAAAUAACAAAUAAGUAUUAAUUAUUGUAGGGUCCAACAACAAUCUUUAAUCUAUUGUGUUCUUGACCACAAAAAACCAAUUAACAAAUAAGUAUAAAUUAUUGUAGGGUCCAACAGCAAUCUUUAAUCUAUUGUAUUCUUGACAACAAAAAACUAAAUAAUAAAUAAGUAUACAUUAUUAUAUGGCCCACUCCUUUAAAAAUUUGUUGCUCACAACAACUUAUUUAUUCUCAUAAUAACCCAAAGUUAUGCUAGCAAAGCUCUUUUGAGUAAGUGUAUUGAAAGUUUUAAAAACUUGUCACUAAAGUGCAUUAAGUCCUGAAACUUUCAAAAAAUACAAUUUAAUCCUAAAAUUUGUCACGAAAUGCAAUUGAGUCUUAAAAUUUUCAAAAAGUAAAAUCAAUUAUAAAGAUUUAUCAAUAUUAUAAGGGACAAAACCAAAAGCUGCAUGCAAUAAAUCAGACAAAAUUCAUUAAUUUAUGACCAUCAAGCAAGCGUCAGACAUUAGCAAAUGAAUGUAUUAGCAAUCGAAAAUACAUCGAAAACAAAAAGUUAAAAGCUCAUAUCUACCUUUCAUUCUUAUGCUUUGUAAGCCCCUCUGACCUUAGUGACCGCAAGGAUUUUACUGUGGACUCAAUGAGAUCCAUCUCAAGCUCCACCCUUUCAUGUGUCCAGCACUGAAGCAAAAGGAAAAUCGCAAUAAUGCGAUGAGGAUGAAACUAACCCAUUGAAUUUCUGAGUAAUCCAUCAAGUACAAGUUACCCAUCAUUCGGCCACUAAGCUCCUCCACUAUGGCCCUCAAUUGCUGGAUGCUUACUACGAGCGCUUCAUCCCUUCGUAUGAAGUCAACAUUUCUUUGAUUCACACUUUCUUUGCAUGACAUAUUUUAAACCUACAAGUAAACGUUAGUCACAAAAAUCCUCACCAAUUGCUCCCUCACGUGUUUCUCUCAAUGUGUUUGUCACUCCCCUCGUGUUUAACUCAAAUUUAGGCUUUUUCCCUCUCGUAUUCUCUUUUCACAAGUUCUUUAUUGGACUCAAAAUCAGUCUCUCAGCCCCCUCACGACAAUCAAUCAAAAUAAUCAAACAAGAUUAGAUUACUAUUAAUUUUGUUUCAGCAAGUAACAAUUUCAAACCAACAAGUAUAACUUUCGAAAUUCUAAUUGAAACGCAAAUCACUACUGAUUUUGUUUCAAUUCGGUCCACAGUCGCCUUCUUGAUUUUUUUUUGUUCAGCUUUUUUUUUCUGCUGAAUCUUUUUUUUUUCUCUAGCGCACUUUUUUUUUGUGUGCGUUUUCUUUCUCUUCUUUUUUUUUUUUUACGAACUUUCUUUGUUUUUUUUUCUUUCUUUUUUGACAAACUCAGAUACAAUUUAAGAUGAUAGGAAAAAAAAUAUUAAAACUAACAGCAAACAAUUACGUAUGGAAGCACAAAAGUAAUCAGAUCCCUAAAUUGGCUAGAACCGAAACCCUAACUCAAUAAAUCUCAAAUUGCUGAAUAUAAACAGAAAAUUAAAGAUAAAUAGACAUUGUAGAAGUAAGCUCUGAUACCAAAUGAUGUCAAUCGUUGUGGAAAAAUCAUUCUACGAAGGCCUGGAUGGUGCGAAUUGCAAACCUCGACCUCCAAUCAAACCUGUGAUUGAUAACCUCGAUAUGAACGUGAUCAAACCUACGAUUGAGAACCUCGGUAUGAACGUGACCUAUUGACAAACGCAUGUCAACCAACCAAACCCACGAGCGAAAGAAUAAGGUUAAGUUCUCAAAAAAUAGUAGAAAAGAAUCUCUCAACUUUUUUCAUCCAUAUAUAUAUAUAUAUAUAUAUAUAUAUAUAUAUAUUGACUUGGUCAAAUAUUUGAUGAUCAGAUAAUCAAAUUGUGCAAAGAUUUCUAAGAUUCUUCAAGAUUUAAUCCAAAGCCAUCUCUACGCCGAAGAUCAUGAACCAUGACGCUAACAGCUUACUUGAAUUGCUUGGCUCGUGCUCGAGUAAUUGAACCAGUAGGAAUAGACAAUGGGUCUCUAGCACCACCUCAUCGAUAUGGCUUGAUGUCCACAUCAUAAUGCAUGCGAAGGAACAAGCCGAUUGCCACUUGAUGUUAGUCAUUCAUGCAAAACUGUAAGAUUCAUACGCUAUAAUAUAGCCAAACAAGCAACCAAAAAAAAAAAAUAAAAAAUAAAAAACUAAAAAAAUGAUCUGCGUUGCACUUGAGGUGGCAAGGGCAAUUAGAUUGUAUUGAAACUAAAUGAAGUCCGUUGCAUUAAAAAGACAAUCAAAUGAUGCAUUGAUCAAACCUUCUCUUCCUUCUUCUUUUUCCUCUCCAGGUCUUCCACGCCUUCCGACUUGUUAUCCGGUUGAGACUGCACGACCCACAUCGACUCAUCAAUCUGAUCAUUACAAUCAUAGACUUGCCAUUUCCACAGCUAACCCAAUAACUCAAGCUACAAUCAGACGAGCUUCCACCCAAGAAAACAUACCAUUUCGAUGGUUGGUAAGCGUGAGACUGCAACCAAAGUUCGAUUCCGACAAGAGAAAGCACCGGGACAGAUGGUUGAGCUCCGUUUAGAAGUAGACCCAACAGCCGCCGGCGAACAAGGGUGGCGACCGUGACUUCAAAGAGACGACUUGACGGCGACCGAGCUCGGCGGAGGCGAGGGCGGCGGGACUUGUCAGCAGGGAUUUUUCUGACAGUGUCAGACUGGCACGACUCUGACGUUUUUUUAAUUAACUAAAGAAAGAAAUUCGUAAUACGACGUGGGCAGCCCGCAGGAGGGCGAAAUAAGAGUUUCCUGUUCUUAUUUUAUUUUAUUUUUAGCCUUUUCUGCUUAUUAGCAAAUAAAAUUUAUUAAUUUGACACGAACAUAUAGUGGUGUAUUUCCUACUAGUAAUAUAAAUUUAUAGAUUUUAAGGGAAGACUUGGAUCGUAAUUGUCAUUGGAGAGGAAGUGAAUGAUGAUAUAACAUGAGUUAAUAGACGUAAGUGAAAAAUGUCACAAAAGAAAUCGUGUUCCGAUAUUAAUUUUGUCAAUAUAUUGAAAAGGCAACAGGUUUCGUAUUCUUCUGGACAGAAAUGAAAGGUCAAAGGGAAACGAGAAGGACUGAGCAAAUAAAUGACAAAAUAUGAGCAAUGGAAGUCAUUGAUCGUUUGCCGUUUGACUGAUUGGAUUCUAAAUAUUUUAUUUUCAAUUGGGGUCUAAAUAUUUAUUUGGUCCAAUUGACUUCUAAACAUUUCCAAUUUUAGUCAAUCACGUCCCUCGAAUAUUAUUGUCGGAAAGAGCCACAUGGCUGUGAUUUUCCAAGUGGCCAAGGAGAUGCUUGAGGAGAAAACCUGUAGGAGAGGCGAAGCCAUUCAAGCAGAACUCUCAAGAAGCCAAUUUUUCAGACAGUUUCUCAAUCAUCACAUAGAAAAGUACCAGGAUUUCAUUACCCAUUUCACUUAUUUCUGCUAUAAAACUUACGGGUAUCGAAGUAUAUCAGGCAUAGUUUAUUUGUACUCCAGCAGAGAUAGUAAAAAGGCACAGAUGAUGCUCUCCUCUAGCUGAAACUCCCACUUUUCCUCUCUGUGUGAUCAGCUUUGCCAGCAACAAUUUCCAACUUCCCAAAUUGAUGUUCAAAUUUAAUCAAAUAGACUCAGAGAAGAAAACACACGAGAAUUGUUGCUAUAACUCUUGUUACUUUAUUCAUCAAAACAUCCAAAUCACUUAGCAAGAAAAUAGCUAUAGAACAACAACAACAACAAAGACCCACUGACAUACCCCACCGACCAAACAUGUGGAGAAACUAACUCCUACAAAAAAGCCACUUCCUAUUGACUAGGACUCCACUAUUACAUUAUUGAAGACACGUAAAAACUGUAAGUUAACUACUUCAACAAUUGAUGGUGUCACUUCAAGGAGUUCUCAAUGUCGAUCACGAAUCGAUACUUAACAUCUCUCUUGAUGAGCCUCUCCAGAGCUUCAUUGGCAUAAUCAAUCGGUAUCACUUCAAUAUUUGGGUAUAUCUUCUGCGCUGCACAUAGGUCUAUCAUUUCUUGGGUAUCCUUUGUUCCUCCCGUUAGGCUACCUGAAACAGUUCUCAUAUCUGCCAAACGUUCACCACGAGCAACUUAGUUCACCUAUCAGGUAUGAAAUUUCAUUUAGUAAUCAGAUUUGAGAACAAAAACAUACGGUGGUUAAGGCUGGCUGGACUAAAUUUAACUUCGCUCGAGCCGACCAAUGCUAGAAUGCCACCCGUCUUCAAAACAGACAUGUAAGGAUCAAAUGGGUGAUUGCCGGCUGCCGUGUCGAUUAUAAAGUCUAGGGACUUAGCAAUGGCCUGCGUGCAUUGGAUUUAUCAGAUCACAACAGAAUUUGACCACCAUGGAUCUCAAUGUGGAUAAUUCUAGUUUUUCCUUUUUUUACCUUCAUCUGCUCUACGUCAGAUGAGAUAACGAAAUGGUCAGCCCCAAGCAGGCUCAGUGCUUCCUCCUUUUUAGAAAUGCUUGUACUGAACACUGUGACUUUUAGUCCAAAAGCCUUCCCAAACUUAACUGCCAUAUGACCGAGCCCGCCAAGUCCAAUUACACCUAGAGACUUACCGGGUUGGUUCAUCUUGUGACGUAUCAUUGGAGUGUACACCGUGAUUCCAGCACAGAGCAGUGGCGCUGCUAGAUCCAUCGGGUAGUUUUCUGGAAUCCUGAAGCAAUACCUGUCAAUGAAGCACCACAAUUAAGUUUCCAAAUAACACCAAGAGAGGAAGUGAUUUCCCAAUAGAAUCAGCAUCCUGUCUUUUUUGUCUAAAAGGAAUCAAAUCACAGAGCCAGAAAUCCUAUCUUCCGCAUGCUUGGGAAUGUUACUUGCUUAGACCACAAUUCAGCAUCAUGUUGUUUCCGUGAUCCUUGUUCUGACCACAAAUUGCUCAAGACAAACAUUUCUUGCUGUAGCAACGAAAAUAACUCGAUUAAAAUUAAGAAAAGACACUUGCUCUAAGAAAGGAAACUGGUGGCAUAUCACAUAUGCUUGACUGAACACGUAAUUUCUCUAUUUCUUUCAAUCAAUUCCUCCGAAGGACUCAAGAUUCCUGUGGCUCUAUCAGAUACAAGAAUUAGUGAAAGCACAUACAUUUAGCUACCCAUUUGAUCUUAUACUUAUGAUCUAACUUUAACAAUCUAAGGACAGCUUAUUCCAUUCUUGACAAUGGUUAUUGAAAAGAAAGAAUUUCUUUUUGCAUUUAAUAAAGCCAAUUCUCCAUUGAAUGGUCUGAAUGGUAAUUGGAUACAGAGGACUUAAAGACCCUCCAGAGCCGUUAUAGAAAGUAUCUUUAUCCUUUUCCACAAGAUGCAUUAUGCUACUUCUGGUCACAAUCAGAAUACGAAGAAAAUUAGCAGAGAAGAAGACAUGACAUGAAAUCUUUUUUUGGCCACCAUGAUUUGAAAUUCUUUCACAGUGCAAAAUGCUGCCUAAUAACAUUGUGUUAAUAAGCAAUUACC